AAAAAAAGAGUUAAUAUCAAAUAAAAAAAAAAUUGUCCGUAAGACCAUAGUCGAAUUUAUUAUAUUAAAAAAACUAAUUAACAUAUUUCUUUUGUGGAGAACAUGCCGAGCACGAGGAACCCCACCCCUAUUCGUUUCCAUAUAUCUUUGUUUUCCUUUUAUGAAAAUUUAGUACUUAUUAAUAGUUUGGUAAUAUAGUAAAUAGAAAAUAUAUAUAUUAAAAUUUCAAAUUAAUUGAAUCUCAAUAUUUUAAAUAUAUUAUUAAUUUUAAAAUACAACUUUUUAAAUUUUUACAUUUUUUCUAACAACAAAAUUUUCAACCUUAAAAAUUAGAAUUAUCAAGAAACAAAUGUAGAUAUGAUUCUUUGAAGUCAUUUAUUCUUUCAUUUUAGACAAUUUUGACUAGACUGAUGGUCUUUCUUUGAAGUUGUUUUGUUUGACAGUCAUCUAUACUAACAUGUUACACCUUUAUUGAGAGAUCUUCUCUAACAUGAACAUCCUCCACUUUUAACACAUGAGAAGGAUCAUACAAAUAAUUCCUUAGCUGAGAGACGUAAAAUACCGAAUGAAGAUUGACCAACUUAGGAGAUAUGACAAUCUAAUAAGCCACUCGUCCAAAUCAUGAGUAGGAUAGCAUGUGAAAAAGAGAAGUACUCAAUCGAAUUUCACCUAGUGCUGACUCGGCCAAAUACGACUGAGUUAUGGUCGAGAACAACUUAACUGAAUUUGGCCAAUUUUCAAUCAAGGUUUUAUUGGUUGAAUUCGGCCAAAUUUUGGUUGUUCUCAAAUAAAUUCAACCAAAUUUCGUCUGGGAUCGACUCGAUCGAAAUUUGGUCGAGGCUUUCUUGGCAGAAUUUGGCCACAUUUCGACGAGGGCAAACUCAACCGACCUUUGACAUGUGCCAUCUCGACACGACCUUCGGCCCACGUCAACCCAUCUUGACAUUUAGCCUAGGCUAGUUGGGCUCAACCAUUGGUCUAAACUAGCUUAACUCAACCUUCAACCUAGAUUGAUUGGGCCCAACCAUCGGCUUGGAUCAACCUGAUUUAACCCUUUGUCCAUGUCAACUUGUCUUAACCUUUGAACAUGGUAGGACCCUCACGACCUUCAACCCGAAUCAUGUAAUCUCGACCCUUAGUUUGGUUUGGUCCGUCUCAACCUUAAACCUAAGCUAAGUUAAUUUGACCUUGCGUUCGAACAAGCCUAUAUCGGUCUUUGAUCCAGAACAAUCAUUCUCAACCCUCGUUUCGAGUCAGUCCAUUUCAACCUUGAGUCUAAUUCAACUAAAAAUUUAGAUUGAAAAUUUGGAUUGAAUAUUUGGAUUUUCCAUAUUUAAAAUUUGGACUAAAGAAUAAAUAUCUAUAAAAAAAAAGUCAUAAAAUGUAGACUUUUCAUUAAAUGGAUUGAAUCGGAGCAAAAGUGGUUCAAAUUGAGAAAAAUUGAUUUUUUUCCCACGAGGUUAAUAUUCGAAUAGUAAAGUAUAUUUACUAAUUCUCACUUUUUUAAAAUAUUUUUAAUUAUGAUUUUUUUAUACUUUAUUUAUAGGUUGUUUCCGCUCCUUAUAUGUAAAAAAAAAAAUCUUAUUUAAUGUAAUAGUUUUUCAGCUUUAUUAGGAGUUUAUACUUCUAUUUAUAUUAAAUUUAUGUGAUAAUUUAUGCUUUGAAAUAUGUUUGGAGGGAGAUUUUCAAAAGUUGUAGGAAGAUGAUUUUGAUAUUUGUAUUACUUUUAUAAAUAUAUGUAGUUUAAAGUUUCUCAUAUUUUUUAUGAGAGAAAUCAUUCUUUAAUAUUGAUAAGUUAGACCUCUGAUAAUGGUUGAUUUAUGUGUUUUUAUGUGUAUAUUUUUGUGAAUAAAUCAACUCCUUUAUAACUUUUACUCUGUUUUCCCCCCAAGUCUAGUGUGUUUUCAUGCUUUCUUGUGUUUUAGUUAGUAUAUGUCUGUUUAUCUUUAAUAUCUAUUUUUAAAAUAAGUCAAUAGGAAACAAUUUCAGUGAAGAAAAACAAGCUGGUACUCAAGGAAGCGUGAUUGGAUAAGAAAGAAUGAUUUUAGCAAAUAUCCAUUCCAAGGGCUCUAAAAUCGCACCUAAGAUUGCAAACAUGAAGAAAAGGCUCACUUGUAGGGUUGUAUUGUCACUACUGUCAUGGAUUGUCCUCGAAUGACUGAAAAACCACCAUUGAGCGCUAGGAUGAGUGGUUGGGUGAGUUGGUUUCUUGUUGGAUGAAAAUGACAAUCCAAACUGGUAGUAUUCGAGUUGUUGGUCAAAAAUAUAGCUCACCUAACAAGUUACAAGUUAGAGAGCAUCAAAUUUUAGGUCUCGCUGGGCAAGAAUGAAGAUGUUAGCCGAGAGUCUGUCAGCCUUGAUACGCGAAAGUUUGUAUUUAGUAAUGCUUUCGCAAGAGUUUUCAUUAUUCCUCAUUUUUACAAAAUAAAAUCACUUAGGUGUUUGGGAUAGACUCUUAGAGGUUGUUUAUAGUGUUGGAAAGCUCUCCAUCUCCUUCUUAGGUUUCUUCCUUCAUCCAUGGUGAAUUUUUCCCUUUUGGGGUUGAAAAGAAAGAUGGGCUACAAAAUUAAGGUGUUGAUGUGAAAGGGGAGGCCAAUUGAAGCAAGUAGUAGCUGUCAAGAACCUUGGAAGAAGGAUUACAUCUUCUCUUUAGUUUCCAUUUCUUCCCUAACUUUUCAAUUUGUAGAAUUCUAAGUUCUUCAAAAUGGAAAGCUAUUUCUAUUUCUUGAGAUUAGAUGUAAAACAUUGAAUUCUUGUGUAUUGUGUGAUGUUAACAAUAUAUUUUUCUAAUUCAUGUUAGUAUUCAAUUUCCUUGGUUAAUGCUUGUUGUGACUUGAUUUAUGGUUCUUGAUGUAUUAGGAAAUAUGACUUCAACCUAGAACUGAAAUUGAACACCUAAUAGAUGUUUGUAUAUAGGGAUAGAACAUGAUUCAUUACUAAUCUCAAGACUCUUGAACUUAAUGCAUGGUUGCUUGUUGAAGAUUCAAGAAAUUGAAACCUGAUGAGUUAUCACAGGUUCAAAGUCACUCGAGAUAAAAUUUGAGUAUUUUGAUGAAUUGAUUUUAACAUAAAUAUGAAAUUAAGAUGAUUAUUAAUACAUGAGAAUGAAAUACAUGAACUCUAAUAUUAACAAAUUAUAAAUAAUCUAUGUUACAUCUUUUGACACACCAACUGUCGGAUGAAAAUACCAAAAAUAAUUUCUUGUAUUUUUGUAAACUUUGUGAUCUAAUUGAGUUAUUAAAUAUAAAAAUUGUCAAAUGUUACACAAAUCCUUUAGAAGAUAACUACACUGUAACCGAUGCACUUAUAAUUAGUUUUACUAUGCCUCCAUAUAUUUAUUUAGAAUUUUCAUAAUUGUGAAGUAUAAUUUGAUCUUAAAUUUAGUUUGAUACUUGUUGUCUGUAUUCAUUCGUUUAUUUAUUUUUUAAUAUAUUUUCAUGUCAUAGGAAAUAUCCAUAAGUUUUAGAUUAAGAGAAUGAUAAAUUUUAGAUUAAGAGAAUAAUUAUAUGUUAAAGUUCACAAUAAUACCUAACUUAUUUAAAAAUUAUUUUGGUAAAACUAUCAUAUAUAUAAGCUUUUAAUAAUUAAUUUUCAAUUAUUAUCAUCAUGGUUUUUUAUAAUGUUUGACUAAAAGCUAAAUUUAAAUUCAUUAUUGAUUAGGAUUUUCUCCGUCAACAUUAACAUAACUAUAAUUGGAUGUAUACUGGUUAGGGUUUUUUGUUGAUACAAAUUGAACUUAAUAUUUAACAAAAGUAAGUUAAAAUUUUUUACAAAAUGUUGGACAUGAAUUGUUUUAUAAUGAUCAUUAUUGAAAUUAUUUAUCUAUUAAUAUGUUAAACUAUUUCUUACUUAAUGUAGAUUAAGUUAUUUUUCAAUUGAAGUUUAUAAUGAUUAUUUUUUGUCUAUGCCUACAAUAUUAAAAUAUUAAUCUUUAUAUUUGAUAGUAAUUAAAACUUUAUUUAAAAAUAGUAAUAAAUUUAGGUCAUUUCAUUUAAACAAAGCAGUAGAAAAAUUAAUCAAUUUAAAUUUAAUUUUAUAUUUUGAAAUUUCCUAAAAAGCAAAGAGUUCGUACUUAAUUUUCAUUUUCACAACUUUAGGAAAAACGUCUUAUCCUGAGUUAUAGAAGAACGUUAGAGCAAAACUGUUAUGAUAUAACUAAACUUAUUAUCGAUAUUACGAGACACUGCCAAAAAGUGAAAGAGAAGAGUAAGCGAAGCCUUGGAAGAAAACAAAUGCAGACAACCUUUUUAUUAUAAACAAAAAGGGUUAUUUCCAAGAUUUCAAAAUGAUUCUCUGCAUAAUUUUAAGUGUUGUCCCUCAGUAUAAAAUUUAGAUUCUCUGCAAACAAUUGAGUACAAGACGAAAAAUUUGAAAGGUAUGACUCAAAUCACAAAGUGACACCAAAAGUUACAAAUUUAAUUUCUUGUAAUUUGGGCUAAAAGGGCAUGAAGAUGACAUAAAAAGGACUUUUUGAAGCUUGAGACAGAGAGGAAAUCCAGGGAACAAUGAAGAUUGCCUCGUACUGUGAACAUGAAUUGACAAGACUUAUGUUGGUAGACAUAAGUCAUAUAAGAAGAAACAUGACUUCAAUGCACCAAAUACUAUUGAGCUGGCCCUGGUUAAGUAUAAUAAGUGGAAAAUGAUAGAGUGAAUAAUAAUAUGUUGAUGUUGAUGGUGAGGCAUAAGUGGAGAAGUGGACAAGAUUCCGCGUGAAUUGCUUAGUAGAAAGAUCGACAUAUCACAUUCAGUAUCCAAAUAAUAAGCAUCUCAUGGUUAAUUUAACACAGUCAUAAAAAAUAAAGGUAAAAAAUUGAUGAUGAAUUUCAAAAACUUGUCUGUAAAAGUUUUGUAUAUUUCAGAACAGCGGUUCCCAACAGGCUUGUUUACUAUUGUAUACUUUGUAGAUAAGAUUUUGCUUAUAAUAUUAAAAACUGGAUAUUGUUGCGCAGAUCUACUGAGACCAGUAAAAUAUGCUGUAACUCAAUACUACAACCAGAGAUAACUAUAAAAAGAUUUUAAGAAAAAAACAUGGGAAAAAAGAAGUUGGUAUAGAAUUGACAAGUCACUUAUGAUUAUUGCACCUUGACUUGAAAUAUGGCAGCCUGGUACCUGUAAACUUUACCACAAGCCAAAUUGUCAAGCAGGUUAAUCACACAUGUGGCUGGUGAGAAUCAAGAGCCAUCCAUUUGUAUAUCAGUACCAUUUGGAUUAGUUUGGUUGGCAUUGAAGGGACUUCCAGCCACAUUCUUCUGCAUUGGUCCAGCGCCAAAUGUAAACUCUGUAGGAGCAAUGUCUAGGGUUGGUCUGGCAAAUAUUGAAGGAGUUCCAGCAGUGCUGAAGGAAGGAAGUUGAGCUGGAUCGUUGAUCUUUGGGAAACCAAAGCUAAUUGAAGGAAGAACUGUUGGCGAGAAACUGGGAAGCAGAGAGCUUCCACUGUCGAUUGGUCCAUAGAUCUUCUGCUCAUACUCUUGUAGUUGCUGGUAUACACCUACAUUAAGAAAGGAAGCAUGCACGUUAGAAAGGUGAUGAUUAGCCUUUUGCAAAAUGCAGCCAAACAGUGUGAAUUUAUUCACUACUUGAUAUGAAGGAGUUCACUGAAAAGAUACAACAUUAACGAGACCUGAGUCCAAUCACAUAAGAAAUUAAUAUCACUCUUUACUCAAAAAUCUUAAGACAAUAGGUUAAUAGAUCUUCAAUCUUAUAUAAUGGUCUAUUUUUUCAUUUCUACCCAAUAUGAGACUUAGACUCAUACUUGGGAUUCUAACAUAUGAAUGUAUUGAAACCACCAUACACUCCUUAAACAAAAAUGUGAUACUACUUUUCGAGCAGGGAUGAUGGGAGAGGGAGAAUUGGCAAGUUGAAAGCAUAUCCAUGUUAAUAUUUUCAUAGGGGUUAUUUAAAGCAAGUCCUCCGUAAUUUCUAAGCAUCCUAAACACACAAAUCACAACUUACCCACACGAUCUGUUAAUGAUUCAUCACUAAUCUAAACUGAAAAAAAGUUAAUUUAGCUGUAUGACCAAUUUGGCCUUUCUUCCACUCUAAAUUUUGAUAACUACUAUUGAGCACUAACUCAGUUGAUUAACUUGAUUAAGUUUCCAUACAUAAUGAUCUUAAGAUAAAAUGAUUUCACCAGUUAAAAGUCCUUAAUUAACCAACACUGAAAUCUGAUGACUACAUUGGAGACUGGAAGCAAAGCUGGAUACAGUAAACAUACAUACCUGGAGUUAGUUCAACCGAAUGUCUACGUUCCUUUACCCACUGAUAACUCUGUGCAAGUCUCCAUCCUUUGGACUUCAUCAAGUAUGCAAUCACAAUAGCUGGAGACCUGUUGUUAAAUACAACAUGAUUCAGAAAAUUUAACAUUUCUAUAUAUUACAUCCUCAUCUGAAAGGCUGCAGUACAAAAACCUCUAUCAAUUCCAUUUUGUAUUUUGAGAGUCACCAUCACUAAGUAAUUCAAACUAACCAGCACCAAAUGUCACUGACAUGUUUAUUAAAUAGUCUAGGAUUAUCUUACCUACUCUUUCCUGACAUGCAAUGAACCAGAACACGCUCCUUUUCCUUCUCACAUAACUCUGCAAAGGAAGCACACGGCAUUUGCUUCAUUAUGAAGGGUAAAAGGAAGAAAUAUAAGAGAAAAGUAUAAUGUCAAUUUAAGACAAAGAAUCCAUUAAUUACCAGUUACUCAGUUAAUUUUAAUGAGCCAAAUCAUACGUUAUAACUCAAAUCCGGAAAUAACAGCAUAGGAAGAGUUGCUUAUACUUAAUAUCCCAUUAAGCAAAAAAGAACGUAUAACGCAACUCCAUCAAUGUUAUAACAAGUGACCACCAUUUAAACUAAACCAAAUGAGAAAGAUUUACAGAGAUAGCAAGUUAAAAUAAAGCCUUAAACACUAGAGGACUCAUUAAAGAUUAAUUAUAUAACGAUGGAAAUGCAUCAAAUAUUACAAUACAAACCCACACACUUGUGCAAACAUGCCCCCCUGUCCACUAUCAACAAUGGUGAAGGAAAGAAGAUGGGGGCAGCUUAGAAGACAAAAGGUAAAGGGCAUGGUGAGGGACUUGAUGAAAAACCAAAAGAAGUUACCAAUGAUAAAACAAUUUUGUUAAGGCCUAGACAUUGAGUGACAAUUUAUGAUAGAGUAAAAAAUGUCCCUAGGUACAUAAGCUAUCAAAUUGUUAAUCAAAAGGCAUAUUAUUUUAAUCAUGUAUCAGAACAUAUCACAAACCAUAAAUUCAUGAUCAACUAAUAAAAUAAAUUAAAAUAUACUUUUAACAAAAGAAAUUUGUAAAAUGGUGUAUAAACAAAUAAGAUCUUUAUUUCCUUUACUGGAACAUUAUCAUGCUUCUUCGUAAUUUUGUCUCCCAUCAUUAAUCAGUAUAUAUUUGCAACAAAAAACAGUUUUUCAGUCACCCCUUUGUUUUCUCACCAUGGCAGCUAGUCAUCUCAGAUCUAUAGAUCAUGGGUGUUUUCACCUCCUAUCAACCUUGAAAAGGUUACAAACGAUGUUGGGCUAUCCAAAAGAGGAUCACCGAUAUCAGAGUAUCAUCAAACCCUGGUCACCACCAGUCCACAGCUUUUUUCCAUCUAUGCAGCACAUAACAUACUUGAGCCCCUUUCCAAAAAACCAUAAUCAUGCACGUCUUCACCGAGAAGAUUCCAUCCAUUACUGCCUUGGUCUAUCACACUAGUGGUUAUUUUGGCUCCCUGCCCCUCCAAGAUAUUUAUUGUGGGAAAUCAUGACAAAAUAGAGAUUCCUAAAAUUCAAAUGACUCAAAAUGCAUUUCUGAAGACAAAAUCAAACUCUGCGCAAUCUGUAUUCACGGAGCAAGGACUCAAAUAACAGCUCAUGAAUCAAAUUAACAUGUAUUUUGUGUGGAAGUUAUCACUUUUAACAACAAUAAGAGCCUAAAUAAUUUUUUCCUACAACACAGGAUCUGUACAUGAUCAAAAGCAACACUUGUGUUCAACGAUGAACCUACCCUUUGGAAGGUUAAGGCUAUGUAAGAGUGUUGAUUGGACUCCUUGGGUGCACCAGAUCAAGUUUUCUUAGUAGUUCUUCCACUGUUCUUACAAGGUCAAACCACCUUAUACUAGAUUUUUACCAUCUCUUCCUCAACAGGUGCUAUUGUUUCCUUCUAUCUAAUGCCUUCAUUCCUGAUCUAGUUUUUGUAUGUCCACUCACCCACCACAAACCUGUCUUUGUCAAACAGAGUUUAUGCUCCAAUUCGUUCUUUAUCAACCAAAAUUCAAUACCAAUUAUUAAAAGAACAAGUUCAUUAAGAAAAAGAUAUAAUUACAGAGAGCUCAGAAUACAUGGACUUCAAUAAUGCUUUUCUUUUGUCCUUUUUUACUUAUUAUUUCAUUAAACUUGCUUAUAUCAAACUAAUUUGUCAUAAAACUAACAGUUUUUUGUUUGCACAAAACAGUAAACUGUAUUUAAACUUCAUUCAAGUCAAUUCAGCACAUUCACAGCUCUAUAGCAGGAAGGUCCGCCUCCUAGUUAAGUCAUUGUUUUAUGUCUCCUAGUCAAGGUCCUGCACCAAUCACAGCAGCCCUUCACAGCUGUUACCAGCUGCCCCGCGUGUUACCAGCAAGAAGACAACCUCACCCGCUUUUUCCGUGUCGGUUUCAUGCAUUUUAAUAAGGUAAAAUUGGAAAAAAGCAAUAACUCUAUAUUCUGAAUUCCUUUCUACUUCGUUGACAUUUUCUUCUUUGAUGCCCAGUCAGCCCUAGCUUCUACACUUUCUCUUCAAAACCAAGCACAGCUCUAAAUCCCUAAGGUUUCACAUGUGCGGCGACAACAGCUCUUCCCUUGCACUUGCAUGGUAUUCAAAUCAUUGUCAGUGAUCAAGUCCUUUGCUUUGCUCAAUUUUGACUCGUCAAGUUUUAAUGCAAAGAUUGACCUCAUCAGACAUGAUGAGAUUUUCUCUUCAAAUACAUUCUAUUUUCUCUCAGAACUUGCAUGCAUUCCAGAUUCAUGAAUGUUAAACUUGUUUUCUUUAGUGUUUACACUAAUUGCAUUACAUCAUAAAAAGAUGCAAGAAUCUAUUCAAUUUGUUGCCAUGUUUCAAAUUUAGGUAUUUUAUUUAUUUUUCAGCAUAAAUAGAUGUGUAAUGUAUAUAGGACUCAAAAUGGAAGUCAUCCCACAAUUGCACUUUUGGGGGCGUGGAUCUAGACCACUAUUCACUAAUUACUACUAUGGUCCCUCACAGAGGCAUUUAUCUCAAUAAAACAAUUAGUAUGGUGCUCACUGACAAGAAAAUAUAUUAAAGCCUUUGAUGUUACCAACCUGACUAUACUGUUGGGAAAGUUUCAGACUCUGAAAGACCUUAAGUCAUGGAUGCAGAUGCCCUUAAUGAGAAAAUUACAAGAAACCACUGCAAUAGAGUGAUAGAUGGUGGGGAUUCUCUCAAAUAAUCAAAUUGUUGAAGGAGCCUCCUUCAACAUUGACUUUAAGCAGGCCCUCUAGCAGAAACAGAAACAUAGGUAAAAGUGGCUAGAAAGGGAAAUUGCAAUUUUAGGCAAUGUUUGGAUCGGAGGGGAGGACUAGUGGAGUGGACAAUUAGUAGAUAAUAAAGUGUAGCAGAUUUGUUCAAGAUAUAGUGGAGUAGACUGGUUCAUAAACAUAACAGAAUGAAGUGAAAAGUACUAAGGAAUAUCUUUCAAGACCUUUAUUGAUCCUAUUGCUAAUUAGGUGAACAACAAAUAUCUAAUGUCUAUGAUUCUAUAAUGGUCUUUUCCUUUCAAUAUAUUGCUUAUUUUUUAAUAAUUGACUAGAUGAUUCAUAGAGAAAGUCCUUUAGAAAAAGAAUCAAAAUACUACCAAGUAGAAGUGCAAAAGAACAUAAUAGUAAAAGUCCAUGUAGCAGAUCAUUUACUAGUAUUAUUGAGCACGAAGACACUGGUCAAAGUUCCAAUAACAAGUACAAGUAUUAUAUGUAGUAGUUAUUUAUAAAAAAAGCUGCAAAUCCAUGUUAAAGAAGCACAUGGGCAAAUGAAAAGUAUAAGUUUUAAAUGGACAAACAGAAAAAUACCUAGAAACUGAAUUGCUUCAUCAAAUGCCAAAGUUUUGUCAUCUGGGAGGCAGUGAUAGGUAAAUGAGUUCUUGUAGAGAUUUUGACAAGAAGGAACAGUCUGCAAAAGUAGAGAAUUCAAAGGUAUUAUAAGAAAAUAAACACAUGAGGAAAAUUUGGACAAGCAGGUUUACGGUGCAAAACCUCUGAGCAAGAUAAGAAUGACAUACAUCAUGAAAACAAAUUGAAUAUCAAUCAAAAUCAUUGUACGUUUAGUCACCUCUUGUCCAUUUAGAACUAACUAUUUUCCACUAGUACAGGAAACAACCUAAUUCCACAUCUUCAUGAUUUUCCACAAUUAAAAAAAGUAUCUGCACAAUCAGCCCAAACAAUGAGUUGAUCAUUGAGCUUAUGAACCAUGAAUUUGCAUUUAUUCAGUCAUGUUAGUCCCUAAACUUGAAGUAAUUCAUAAUGUCACCAACAUGGAAACCAAUUUGGCUGCCAAAAUGAAAUUCAAAUCUUCCCGAAAUUUGACUAUUAAUCUUAUCUGAAUCUAAAAUCUAUCAACUAAUUGUUUAACUUGAAAUCAAAGUCUUAAAAAAGGGUCCACAACACAGGUUUUUUGUAGUUUUCAUGACCCACAAUUUAAACCCUUGUUUGGCAUAGUCAUUCCUAUGCAUUGACCACCUAGAAAUUAUAAGAACUGUUAUAAUGAAAAUCCUAAGUAAAUCCACUUCACCUACAAUUCCUCAAUUAUUACUGAAAUCCCAAACACAUAACAAUCCAAAAUCUCAACCUCACAACACUCAACUUAUCACCAUGCAUACAUUCAUAGUUAAUCAUUGGAACAUUGAAAUCAAAAAGAUGUCAGAUUGGAUCACAGAUUAUAAACAAACAACAAGACCCCUUACAUUGAGGAUACGAGUAAUCCCCUGUGUCUUGAGAAGCUCGGAACGUGAUGCGUUGUCAUAGCUUCCUAGGUAAAGAAAUUCGGGCAGAAUCACAGAAGGAAAAGCACUAACUUGUAUCGAAGUUUUCUCCGAUCCAACUGGAAUCCGGUGACCGCAAAUGGAACACACUUCCCCUUCUUCAUAUUUGUGGUAGUGGCCACACACCCCACAGGGAUUCUCUCUCUCCCUUUUCCUCAUAAUUAAACAACAACAACUAUAAAAAAACAGAAGUUUCCUUCAGACCCAGAUCCAAAAACAAGGGAUUGGGAACAAAACAAGGCAAAAAAUUAGAUCUUUUUGGAGGUGGAGAGAGACCCCAAUCAGAAAAAUGGUUCAAACCUGAAAAAAACAAACACCCAGAUCGACAAAAAAAAAAGGAAAAGAUGAGAGCUUUGACAAAAGGGAAGAAAGGUGUGGUUUGGAAACAACAAGAGAAGAAAGAAGGAGGGAAGGGAAACUAUAUAGAAGUUUCCUUAUUGUAAGUUUGAUGUAAUAAUAGUAUUAUCAACUUAGGACAUGACUACAAUCUAUGUAUCUAUCUGAGUUAGAAACACUCAUUGGUUUGCACUACUGGAUUUUGAUGGAGGCAAAACAUUAGCCAUGGUUUGGUAGUAAUUAUAGAAAGGGAUUUGGUUUAGAUUGGAUGAUGGUGAUGGUAAUGAUGGUAGACACAAGGGUGAAUUUUUUGGGUAUAUGUAUUAGUUGAUGGAUUUUGGGAACUUCCAGAUUUUUGGUUGGCACGUGAAGUGAACAAUCCAGGUUUCUUAUUCUCCUAGAAAUGAGAAUAGAUCUGGUAAAAACACAACUUGCCUAACACUCAACCAUCUCAGUUUCAGGUAAAUAAUCAUCAUUUCUUCCAUCAUAACUCUAAAGCAUUUUCUCCUACUCUCUUUCUCCCUUUUUAGACAAUGUGAACAUGCAUUCACACUGUAAAAAACAUUUUAGUAUGAUUGGUGGACAAUGAUGUCUUUUAAUUGGAUGAGAACUUAAUUUUUUCAGAGUUAUUUUAAUUUUUGAAAUGUUAUUUAAAUUUAUGUACUUUUUGUAUAUAAGUUAUUUUUAUUUUGAACAUUAUUUUUCUAAGUUGAAUAAAUAAUCUUGUCCAGAUUCUAUUUAAACCGACGAAUCCUAUAUUUGUAUUCACAUCCAUAAAAACGACUAUUGGGAAGGUUUUUAAAGUAUUUUCAAAUAUAAUAAAUCUAAAGUUUUAGUAUUAAAAUAAAAUAUUUUAAAGUAUCUAAUUUUUUUCUUAUUUGAUGUGGUAUCUUUUCUUGAACCUUUUAAAUACUUAUUUUUAUAAAUUAUUUUACUUCCAUGUAAAAAGAAUAGUAAAUAGAAAAUAAAUUUAUAAUAAAUAUUUUUUUCAUUUUUACACAAAAUUUCAAUGUUUAAAUGUUUUAAAAAAAUGUAAUCUCUUCAAAUAUUUUUAUUUUAAUUUAUAAAUAUAAUUCUUAUGUGUUUGUAAUCUAUUUAUAAUAUAUAUAUAUAUAUAUAUAUAUAUAUUAUUGUGUUGUUGAAUAGUAUUUCCUUUUAUUUUUGUAGUAUAAUCAAAUUUAUUGACUUAUAGAAAAACUAUCAAUGCUAAAAGAUUAGAUUGUUAGAAUGAUGACAAAACAAUUACUUAAUCUUAAAGAAUAAUACAACAUAAUUUUUUUUAUGUAUGUUUUUUUCUUUUUAUAAACUUAAUAACAUUUUUUUCAUUGUAAUAAUUUUUUUAGUAUAUGAACACUUAUGCACAUCCCCGUAUUUCCUCCCGUUCAACCUUUAUAAAUGCUUUAUUGGAUCUAGAUUUAGGGAAGAGUCAGAAAUGAGAUAAAUAAUACUUUUUAAUAAUUCUAUAUUAAAACUUGUAUUAUUUAAAACAAAUAGAUAUAUAGAGAGUAAUUUGCUUUGAAGGAGGAGUAAGAUAAUUUUUGUUUCAAUAAAAAUAUUUUGGUUAUGAAUUAAGUUAAUCAAACAAGUUACUUACCUAAUAUGUUUGGUAGAGGAAGCCAACUAGUAUUGCUAAAAGCUUUACCUGUAACAUCAUCAAUUAGAAUUUUAAAUACUAACAGUUAUUUUAAAGAUCAUGUUUCUAAACACGCAAACUAUAAGGUUGUAAAAAUAUAAAAUUAACAUGACCUUUUAGUAAAUGAAUUAAAUGUGAGAAUUUUUUUUCUGUCAGUAAAAUAUGAAGUGCAUAGUUGGAUAGAGAUAAAAUUUGAAUAAUUUGCAUGACAUAUUGAAUUAUAUAUGAACGGACUUUGUUGUUAAGAGGUUUAUCCAUUUGUUGAUGUGUUGUUUUGUUUGACAUAUCAUAGUCAAAUGAAUACCAAGAUGCUGUUCAUUGAUGAAUCAAGUUGGUUCUUUUGCCCCCACAAAUAUGAGUCUUUAGAUACGAUGUUGACACAACUGUGGCAGCCUUGUGUAGGAAAAAUGUUCCCAAAUUAACUUACUAACUAUAAUAUCAUCUUUAACUACCUCAAUCAUGGAUGAUUCUUGUUUGAAUAAUAUACUGUAUUAGAAUUUUGUUAACGUACUUUAAAAUUAAUUGUACAGAAAAAUAAAUACGGGUAAAUUUUUUGGUUGAAUUUAUUUUAGUUAAUAUUUAUGUUUAAAUUUAUAUUGAAUUAUCCACCUUCAAAUAUUAGUUAAUAUGAAUUUUGUAUUUAGUUGUAGAUUGAAAAAUAUUUUUAUAGAUUAAAAUAUAUAUUAUUUUAAAUAAAUAUCAGUUAAAACAUUUAAUUCAUUAUUUAGUAAAAUUUAUUAAAAAUACAUUGUCGAGUUUUAUUUAAUAUUUAGGAAGUUCUAAAUUUAUAUUCUUCAAUAUUGUUAAACCAAAAGUGUAUUAUUCUCAGUUGGUUAAUAAUUUUAAAAUAAUUAGUAUAUUUAAAUAUAAAUAAGGUUCGAUAACUAGUUUUUUAUAACUCGUCUCUUUUUUUAGUACUAUUUUUUUUACUAUACCUGCUGUUGUAGCAUUAUAAACAUUAUUAUUACUUUUGCUCUCGUCAAGAUAAAUCUGACUCCUUCCCCUGUUCUUGCCUACGUAUAUCGGAUAUUUUAAGAAAUGAAUAUCUCUUUUACUAGCGGGAUCCGGAGAAAGAAUAGGAAACGUGAUUUCAUUAUAUUUCUGAUCAGGAACAAUGUCUACUACAAGAAUAUUUUUUUUUUAGAACGAUAGUUUUGAAAAGUCAGAUUGUCUAUCUUCUCUUUAAUCUGAGGCGACGGGGAUGCCAAUUCAAAACCUUCCAGUCACUCUUCAAACAUGCACGAAUUUAAUAAUUCCAACCAAAAAAUAUAAGUCUACUUUCAUGCUCUUUAUGUUAGAUUGUGUGUUUGAGUACCUUUCAGAGGGGACAAAUGAGACACAUGAUGAAGGUACAAUUCAAAAGAAAAGAAAGGAAAGAAGUAACGUACAAGCUAUCUUUAGAGAGAUAAUGGUGUACUUUAUCUUAUGUAACUGGAACAAGAAUGACUGCUAGAAUAUAUUCCGAGAUGAUUGGAAAGUAAUGAAGACAUUAUGACUCUACUUCUUUUUCCAAGGGAAGAGAUUAUGAUUAAUAUAAUUUUUCAACACUUCUAUUAAUAUACUAAAAUAAUUAUUUUCCAAUAAAACACUUUUUAUAAGAUCAUAGAUACAAUAACUUUUUAAUGUAUUUCAAAUUAUCAUUUUAAAGAACCAUUUUGGAAACUAAUUCUGUCAAAAAAAACAUGUUAUUAAGAAUCCUCUAAGGAGUUUAUUGUGUUUCAUAUUUAUAAUUUCAAAAUACUAUUUGGUAGCUUUUCUCUUUUUAUUUAGGUGGGGUUGCAGCCUCAAAAGAAGAAUUUGAUUACAAGUCACACAAAAGGAAGUGGUAGUUUUUCUCUUUUCAGCAACAAAUUAGGUUAAUUAACUUUUUUUUUUCUUCGGGGACCAAAUUGAUGUUUAAUCAAAAGGCAAUUCAGAUAUCCAAAUAUAAAAAGGAAACUACAUAAUUCCUAAGAGACCAAAAAUAGAUCUAAUUCUCUAUCCUAUCAAUCAAUAAAGCAUAUGCAUAUGAAGCCAAGUUGGGGAAACAAUAACUUUAACGCUAUGUAAAUUACAUAGGUAUAAAUUGAAAGCUUACAAGUUCAAAAAAAAAAAUGUACCUCUCUAAUUUACAUGAAAUAAACUGUGAAAUCUACAUCUAGGAACACUUUUGUCAUCUACUUGAUACACUGAUAAUGGUGAAGAGUGAACAUACGUUGAUUCCUAAGUGUACAUAGAUUUGAAUCCUUCCGUGAGAGGAACCACCUUUGCGGACAGCCUGGACUGCAAUUUUGAUGCAGCUUGUCGAAUAUCCUGAGGAAUUACAAAAAAUGCAUAUUUUAUUCACUGGUUUUUUUCUUCAUCGAAACAAAAACUUAGAUAUAAUUCCUUAAGAGGCUUCGGUGCUGGUGUCUGAUCAGAAAUGGCAUUGUAUUCAAGUAAUAAUUACUAACCUUUGAUACAUAUACACAUUGUUGGGAUAAAACUUUAAUUAUGAUUGAAUAAAAACCAUAUAAAAUAUUCUAGUAGUUGCAUCUAAGUUUUGUUUUUGUCAUUAAAUUCUUAUUUAAUGUGAUGCGAGAGGGUAUGCCCCUCCACGAUGAAGGUCAUGAAAAUUCACAAAUAUUAGAGAUUUGCAUCUAAUAUGCAAAUACGAGCACUUGAGGAAUGUAACUUGCAAGUUAAAAAACUAAAAGGAAAAAUAUAGCAUUACCUCUAACGUAUAUCUUGGUGAAAAAUGAGUCAACAGAACUGCUUUGUUGCGAAUCCACUGUGCAUUUGCAAUGAUCUACAUAAAAUGUCAUAAGUUUACUGUUCAGGAAUUCAACAAUAUAUUAUGAAGUAGAGAGGAAAUUCUGAAAUCAGUCAAUCACCAGAAAAAGGUGUGAAUUUGUCUGAGCAGAUAAAGACUCUAGUUUAUUUUUAAUAUUUUCAAAUGGUACAAGAUUGACUUAUGAAUGCAACAUGGUAUACAAUUUGGUGCCAGAAAAGCUAUGUACUUAUUUUAACUAUUCUGUAACAUUUGGCUAAAAAAAGCUGCUGACAAUACAACGAUUAUUAUAUAUAUAUGACUAUAGCUAUAACUAUACUAACAUGAACACCAACUCGAUCAUAAGUGACAGCAAAAUAAAAGUGAAAGGGAAAGCAUGAUAGCUGCAAAAGUUGGCCUUCUUGCAUCUAUGAUUUGUCGAGCUAAGAUCAGAGUAACCAUGAAAGAAUGAAACAUGUUACAUACCUCAAAUAAAUGAGUAUGACCAAGUUGCCGAGCAUGAUCUAUGCUGAAUGAAUCAUCUAGGAAAGUUGCCUAUUAAAAGAGUUUCAACAAGCAAAGCAAUCAAAACAAAAAGAUCAAUUAGGAUAGCAAAAAAGAAGAGCACACUACAAAGGAAGGUAAUAGCAAUUUUUGAAAAGUUUUAUUCCUAGUUUUUCAAGUAUGCCAAUACCCAAUAUCCACAAGUACCGAUGAAAUGAACUUAGAUGACUCUGAUAAUUUUAGUAACACAACAUAACAAAGAGGACGACAAACCUUUGGUAUACAAUAAAAAAAUGUUUACACUUUAAUAUUUUUAAUUGAUCUUGUCACAGUUAAGCGUCAGAAAGAACCGAGAAGAAACAAUAAACGAUAAAGGGGAAGAAAGAAAAGAACAAAGUUCAAAAUGAGAUUAAAUAAAAAAUUAUGAUUUAUAACUGAAACAGGACUUUUUUCUAGUAGCCUCUCACCAUUCUCUUAUUUUGUCUUCAGUUUUGUUGUAUAUGCAAGCAAAAAAUUAUAUAAAAAUGAAGAGAUUUCGAUGAGAGAGAAAAGGAAGGCAAGCAGAAAAUCCUUAUCUCUACGCCUCAUUCUUCCUUUAUCCUUUGGGAUAAAACAAUAAAAAAAGACUAUAAGAAUCUGCAAGAAAAAACAUGUGGAGAAAGCCAACAGGAAAAUCACAACCAAAACACCUGAAAAAAAUAAGGGCCUGCAAUCUUUUCUUAUAGCCAUCUAGGAGAAAGCCCCCCUUAAUUAUCAUUUAUCAAUAAACUGAAAACCAUAGAAAUUAUAAUAUCAUCCUUUUUCACUAUCUGUUUCAUUACUUCCAAUUUCAAUCUAAUCAGGCACAAAACAAAAAGUUAACUAAAAAUUCCCAUGACAAUACAUCAAGUUGUAAAUCUUAAAGAAUUAGUUAAGGAACAGUUAAGCCAUUUAUGAAACUUGGAAGGUUGUUUUUAUGCUAAAACUUAUUACAUACACAUUUUACACAUUGUCCCAUACUCGAUUCCUGCAAUGCUGUCAAAAUCCCGAGUAAACUCACAAACUUGAAUGAUCCUGUGAAUCAAGAAACUACCAUGAACUGAUGCAAAUGGCAGAUUGUGCCAAGACCAUGAUGUUGGCGGAAUCACAGGAUUGUGUGCCACGUCAAUCCUUUCCAUCUUGUGAAGCUAGGUUUGCCAACCCAUAUGUUGGCUAAUAAGCAACCCAACCCGAUCCAAAAUCAAAGUCUAACACUUGUGUGACCCUUUUGUUCAGCUAGGGUUCCCAGACACUCAUAUAUAAGAAACGGAGACUCAAGAUGGUGCACACACCUCUUACAAGUUGACUUACAAUAUUUUAUCCCUCUUCGGAUCAUCUUACAAUCCCCAAAGAUUACUGAACCCUUUUUUCAAUUCUCCAUUUCUAAGAAUUUCAAAUGAUCAUACUAUCAAUUCUCAAAGUCCAGUGAACUAGGACAUAAAAUAAUUGUACCAAGUUCCAUUAAAAGAUUGUACUAUACCUCAGUUAUGAGAAUUUUGGCUCUCAAUGCAUCAGAAUUACACGGUUCAAGCAUAAAAUCUGGUGUUGUAUCACCGGUGAAGGCCACCUCAGGAGAUAAUAUAGUGUCUGUAAUCUAGAAAGGAGAGUUCAUUAAAGGUAAGGUUCAAAGAAGAUUUAGGUCCAAAUUGAGCUCCAGCUAUCACAAACCUCGGCACCAGCCUUCUUCAAUUUCUCAAUUUGUUUCCCAUUCAAGUGUGCAUACUGUUUCCUCAAUUUUUUCCUGAUUGAGUAGAAUACAUAGCCCUGCAUAAAACAAGUACGUGUUUUCAGCAGAUAAAGGUGUUGUGAUGCCAGAUCGCAAGUCUUCACACAAUUUCAAACUGAAAUAUCAAGAAACAGAAGACAAUACUGUACACAAAAACAAAAAUAUGCUAAGCCAAAAUCCGUUAAUUUUUCUGCCAAAGUCUUUGUUCAAAAGUUUUAGUACACAGAACGAGUUAACUUCUAGCACUGAUAUAACAUGCCCUUCAGUUAAAAGAAAAUGGCUACAGAAUGGUUGGUUGAAAGAUACCUGGCUAGGUAUAACAUGUUGUGUUCUGAAUGGUCGGACAACAAGGUUAUUCCGUAUCUCAUAUGUCUCCCCUGAAAUGAAACUUUGCAUAUCAUUUCCUUGAAGUUAUCUCCUCAUCAUUAACAACAGACAAAAUGACACAUACCCACAUCCAAGGCGACCACUUCAGCAUUCAAUUCAACCUGGCCCAUUGUUCUGUGAAUAUCAAGCAGCUUCUCAACAUCCUCUUUGAUGCAAGGAGGCACAAAGAUAGUGGGAGGUUUUAAAUUGAACAAACCACGGCUAGCUACAUACAUUGGCAGCCCUCCCUAAAUCAUUCAACAUUGUAGCACACUUAUCCCAAAUGUACAGUUAACAUCCAAAGUACACGAUACAUAGAACAAAUAAACCUUACAAAGAAACUACUAGGAUGCAAUCGCACAUUUACAAAGAAACUCACAAAUCACAAGCAGGACCCACAUGGAUCAGUGAAGACCAAGAAAAAAAGGCAAUCAUUGUGUAAGUUGUUUUUAGAAUGUGUUUGGUUUAGAAAAAUUCCAUUUUCCAGCGCAUGUUGAACCCAAACCUCCUCUCACAUUAGAUGCACAUUCAAUGUGACUGAGAACUUAUUCAAACACAGCCUGUAUAUGCCAUCAACAUUAGUCCUUGCCAUGACCACAUAUAGGCCUAAGCUCUAACAGAGAAGACUUUAAUUAAAAAAAAAAAAAUCAGUGUUUUACUUUAUUUUCAAUUUUCAAAACUUUAUAUAAGAAACUAUAAAAAUAACUUUUUUUUAUUCUCUGUUUUCACUGUCUCCUAAACAGAAUAAAACUCACAUUUUUUUCAUAACAACCUUCUGGCAAUGCAAAUAAAGUAUGAAUUGGCCUUUCCAUACAAUCUAUUAAGCUAACAGAGAGCAUAUGAAAUUUACCCUUUCUCCCCUUUUCUACGAAUCCAAAAUCAAAAUCAAAAUCAAAAGAAAAAGCAUCACCCCAUAGAAAGUUAUUGGUGACAAAAGUGGAGAACCUUACAAUGUGAUCAAGAUGAGCAUGAGUAAUGAAAAGGAAAUUUUGAUUAAUAGCUCUACUAGGGCACCUCCCAAUAUCAAAAGUGCUCUUGAAUUCAGGGAUAAUGAUACAUGUCUCUUGGCCUCCAACUGAAAUACCCUCAAUGGAAUAACCUUCCAAUUCCAGAACUUUCCGGUUCACCUGCGACCGGGCUAUACGGUACUGCUCUUCGUGAUCAAUUUUUUUGCUAAUUUCAGACAAAUACCCCGACCCUUUCAGCACAUUGACAUGGGUUUGCGUUGAAACUUGGUGGUGCAGUGGCUUUGGAGGGAAAAUGGGGUGGUGCAGUGGGAAAUGUUGAGGGAUCUUGAAGGCUAAGUGGCUAAGAGAAAUAUGCAUUGUUGCUUAUGAAUUUGAACGGUGAUGGAUAGAAAGAGGGACUGAAAAAAGAGGGUUUAAUCUGGGUUUUACAGAUGUUGGUGGGUGUCUAUCUAAAUCAACCACAGGGACAUUGGUGAUGGAAUUCGAAGAUAAGGUUAACUUGCUAAAACACUGUCGUUUCGACUUUCAGGUUUUAUUGCUAUUUCUUUUAAAUGAUUCAUUUCCAAAAUCUGACAAAAUGGAUUCUUCUACAUCUUGUGGGUUGAUAUCAUUAUUAUAAUUUUCUAGGGGAAACAUGAGUCUCCAUUCUUAUUUUACUCAUGAUAGUUAAGUGAAAAACUAAUUAUUAUAAUAAAGAUCAAACUAAAAGUUUAUUAUAAAAUAAUAUUAAAAUUAUGAAAGAUAUGUCUAUAAAAAAAAUAUGUAAAAAUAAAUCAAUUUUAUUAAUUUUUAUAAUUUUAUUUUGAGUAUUUUUCAUGACAAAAUUGUAAGGAAUUGCAUAAAGAAAGACAAUUACAAGGACAAUCUUUUCUAUUAAUGGUAUAAAUUAUCACUGUUCAAUAGUAAAGUUAGGCCUAUCAUAUUUUGACAGUUUUUUAAUUCGAUUGAAAAUAGAUUUCAGUGAGAAUUAAGUAAAUAUGAUUUUUCUAUCAUAUACUUUUAUGAGAUAAUGCGUACGCAUAACAAGUUAAGUUUUUCUAUCAUUGGAAUACAAAACUGUUAAAAUUCUUCAAUCUAAUGUCACAAGAUAAAGAGAGUUACGAAAAUCCAUUGCUUUCACAUAAUUUUAAGACUGUGUUGUAUUGAUCCGUAUGAAUUUUAUUGCAAUAAACCUAUAUACUACUUUCAUUUCCUAGCAAUUAACAAAAACAAGAUUGCAAAGGUAGAAGUAUCAUCUUGAUUUCUGGUUUGACAUAUCUACAAUCCACGAACAUUAACAACAUACUGUUCAUCUACUGAAUGAAAUAGGAGAAACGUUUGUUUGAUUCUGUAAAUGCUACAUCACUGCAAACUGAAAGUCUUGAAGUUGACAAUAUUAUCUCUGCAUUUUGCAAGAUGAAGCCAUGAAUGAUAGGCAAAGGUAACCCUUUACUAAGACGUGUAUUGGCAUGCGGCAAGAAGACAGUUUCAAUGAGCGUCCACACAACUGGCUGCAGUAGGAAAUCAUAACAUACCCUUUAUCAAUGAGGCGUUAUAAAAUUAAAUUUUCAGUCACUGUUAUGCGUCAUAUACAACAUAAAGGCACCUGAAUGAGGUGCAUCCGCAGGUUGCCAAUUUUGCUCCAUUUCAAUGACAUUUGAAAGUCAUUCAAUCUGAUAUCACCAACGAGGUUGUUUCCACUGAUUUUGAGCGCACCUGUAGCUUGAAUUACCUGUAGAAACAGGAUGUAAUGUAGCAAUAAUGGUCAUCCUUGUAACGGAUCAAUAUAUUUAUAAAAACAAACAAGGACCUCAGCAGCUGUUAGUCACAGGAUUUGGUCAUGAAGGGUGGUACUGCUUCAAUGCCAUUUUUAAUUAUGAUGGUUAGAGGGAAAAGGAGAGAAAGGAUUAUGAAUAAUUUGCAUCUGAUGAAAAUAUGACUUGUUAUGUAAUGAGAUGCAAAGAACUACUACCCAUUUGUUUUUAAUAAUUCAGAAUAACUAGUAUAUAUGCUGAUUGCAGCUCCAUAGAGAUCACUAAUAUCAUAAGAUUCCCCAAACAUUGAGAUUUCUAAUAUUAUAACAUAGUUUACUACUCAAUCUUGGCUUUAAUUAUUUUUAAACUUACUAUUCUUUAAUUAUGUGUCAUCUGUCCACCAGUGGUUGAGUAGAUAAAUAGUAUCUGGCUAAAAUAUAUUCCGUGCACAGAUACACAAAAACAAAGUAGUACCUUAUUAGUGCUAAUAAAGCUAUCUAAUAUAAGACUUUAGUAAUUCAUUGAAUAACAACCAGUUCCAAAAUCACUACCAAGUUAAACUGGUUCAAUAGUUGGUUCUUUAAACUCAGCCUUUCUUGAUGCUAGCGAGGUAUAGGAAACAAAAAUGUUUGUAUUUCUUACCAAAUAGUCGUUAUAUUUGUAGUUGAAUCAAUAAAAAAUAUUGUUGUAGUUAAAAAGCAAUCAUUGAUAGAAAUCCUUUAAACUAGAAUAUUCAUUAGUCUGACAUACAGGGCAAACACUAAUAGUUGCAGCCAAAAACAUCCCAGCACUGUUGACUGACAAACCAAUCCAUUGGGCAGGAAGAUUGAUUAGCAAGAUUCAAAGAGAAAUGACAGCACUGUAACAAGGUUGCUAUGGAUUAGCUUCCUUUUAUAGAAAAAAAAAUAUAUAAAGGAGAACUGCUAAAAGUUGUACGAUUAAGCUUUUAGAAUAGAAAAAUGACUCAUCUAAUAGCUUUCAUUGUAUGCUGAACUGAUUUUAAUACAUAGCAGCCCACAGAACUUAUCACGAAAUAAUAUUUAGAGGCAUCCAAGUAAUAUUUAGAAUGGUGACGAAUAAAAAUACACAGAUAAAUUAUGGCGAUAAAGGUAUUUAAUUUAAUGCUAAUGAUCUUACCAAUGAUAUGCAUGCCACCGGUAUUACUUUGUCUUCUUCCAAAACAUCAAUUGUCAUGUCUACAAUUGUGUUGGCACCUGCUUUCUGAUUUGAUAUCUCCACAACUGGAGGAGAAGAUAAAGAUACAUUCAAGUUCAUGUCAUGAUUUGGGUAUUUCUUGUACAGCUGGGGAAUAAUAAAUCUCCAUCCUGCAGUGUUCAAUAGAGAUUGAUCUGGUAUUUGGUCUACGAUCCAGUGCAUAAAUUUUGCCUGAAGAGUGUAAGCAGUUUCUUUGAUGCCAAUCCAAUGAUACAAAAAGAAGAACUUUUUAAGAAAAUAUGAUUUAAUAUCACAAGCAAACAUCUAAACUUACAUCAUAAUAUAAGGCUGAUGCGGAGUAAAAACAGCCUCAUCUAAAGUGAUUCCUACCAUUUUUGAUGAAUUUGUGCAUAGUAUUGGAAGUUUCAAGUUAUCGUGGUAGAGGUCAAGAAUAGGUAGGGAAGGAUUUCUUUUUAUAAAUAACCCAUUGGUUUCAAAUCCAACAGAUGAAUCACUUAAUAAAACAUCAUUCACAAAAGUUACAUUCAGAGAAGUGUGGUCAUCAACCGGGACUUCCUUUGGAAGACUUUCCAAAUAUGAGUCUAGUCUUGAAAUCCCAUUUGUAAGUUUCUUGGUGAUGGCAUUUUCAACUGCUGAACCAAUUUUCUCUUCAAAGGCAUCAACUACCCUGUUAGAUAUGAAGAAAAAUUAAAAGUCAAAAAACCAUAGAAUAAAUUUUUGCCAGUUAAAGUUGACAACGGAAUGUGUGAUUAGAGGAUGAAACUAAAUAUGCUGGAAAACUUCAAAUAACAAUAUUUCAUAAAACAUUAACUACAACAACAACAUACUGUGUAUAUUCACCAUAUUAUUUCACCAGGCUAACUGGAAAAAUUUGGAAACUAAAAAAGGAGAUGGAGAUGGAGUGGGGAAUGAUCAGUGGGAAGAAGUCACAAUUGUGAAUUUUCUGUGCACAGUACCGUGGCAUUUAAUUAGAGGAUUUCCAGGUAGUAGUAUUAGUAGAUUGUUGUGCUAUGCACAAUUUCAUAUUCACUAAGUUGGUAGAAGAAUUGAAACUCCCUCAUAGCAGAAAACCCCUCUUACUUUGUAAAAGUAGGGAAUGGGCGUAAGCCAUGAUGCAAGGAUGUACGCUGUGAGUCACACUAGAAAGUAUGCAAAUCCACCAAAACUUUUUCCUAUUUAGACUUGGUGGAGCUGAUGAUGUGUUGGGUCUGAACUCAUUAGAAGGUUUGGGCAAAAAAUAAGAGCCAUUUUGAAGACUUGACAGUGAAGAUGAAGGUUGGUGGAUAGGAUGAAGUACUCAUAGGAUAACCUCUAUUGACUAGGUCAGCAGCAUCACUUAUGUCUAUGUAAAUGUUCUACAAGACUAGGGACAUAAUUUUGAGAUUGGUUUCAAUUCCAUAACUGAGCCUACUGGAGGUAAAGAAGAGAUUUCCAACAGUUGUUGAAGAGGUUCUACACAAAUUUGAGGAUCUUUAUGAAGCAUCAGCAGGUUUGCUUCCUACUAGAAUAGAAGCAUUAUCAUGAUACUCACCUCAAAGAAGAAACCACCAUUCCAAAUAUUUAACCAUUUAGGUAUCCCCCGUUAUCAAAAGUCAGAAACUUACUCGUUAAGGAAAUGUUUGCAACAGGUUUAAUCGAACAUAAUAUUAACUCUUAUUCAAACUCUACUAUGUUAGUUAAGAAAAAGGAUGAAGGACUAAGAUUUUGUAUGGACUACAAGGCUUUGAAUAAACUCAUAAUAAUCAGCAAGUUUCCGAUCCUUGUUUCCCACCAUGUUUUUCUUUCCGUAUUCUUUUUUAUUUUUUAUUUUUUAAUAAAAUCUUCAUGUAUAUACUGAAAUUAUGGAACCCAAACAUUAAUUUGGAAAAAGGGGCAGUUUUUUGAGUAAACGUUUUCAGUUUCCAUGUCUUAUUUUCGCUCUAAUUACAAAAUGCACCACAUUUUGAUUCAGUUUUCUGUUUUCAAAAAGAACAUGAAAAUAAAAAAAAUAAAAAUAAAAGUAAACAUGCACUAAGGCAUCUACGCUUAAAAGAGGAAGGAUAAGCAGCUAGCAGCACAAGUUCUAUAAUGCUACAAAAGAUAUGUUCCUUUAUGAGCUAGAAUCUAACAUGGAUAUUUCCGUACCCUUGAUAAAGCCAAGAUGCACCUCCAUCCAAUUUUAUUGAAAUAUCUUUAACAUUAGACCCGCAGUCCUUGAGUUUCAGCUUCAAAGACCCUUCCUGAUUCUCCAAACCCAAUGUAAGUCCAACUUCCAUGCUUUUAACCUUUCCAGCAGUACCACUAAUCAAAUUCCUUUCUGAUUACAGCCGUGAAGAACAGAUAGGAACAGAAAUAACAGUAAAAAAACAUAUCAUUUUAAGUCCAUGCAAACAAGAACAACCAUAUACCAAUAUAAGAAUAUAAACUUUUCAUAAAAUAAGUAAAGCAAGGGUACCACAUAAAUUCCAUACUGCAUGCCUUUGUACAGUUUAUAAUUAAACAGGUUAACAUUGGUAGAUACCGAAACACACAACAGAAAAUGAUAAAGUAUCCUUCAAAUCACAAGGCACACAGAAAAUUAGUUAUCAAGAAUCCCAUUUCCAACAAAACCCCUUUAAAUUCCAAAGAACGAGCAACAAGUGAACCAAAGAACUCCCUUCUGCCCCCCUUAGAGAGACUAUGUUUCAAAUAAGAACUAACAACACAAUUUUGGCACUUCACAAAACAUAAUUGCGCACAUAUAUGCAUUUAAUUGUCAACAAAUCAGAAACCAUUAUAGAUAUAACUUUCAAUAUAAUUGUUAUGAAAGCCAACAAACUUAACAGGACAAUCUAUAAGUUUACGACAGCAUAUAAUAACUUUUAAAGGGCAUUACAAUUAAAUUAUCGCUAUAUAUAAAGUUAUAAACAAAAACAAAGGAUCAAUUUCUUACCUGAACUUCUGCUCUACCUCUGUCAGAGAUCUCAACAGGCACAAGCCAUGUGCUGUAAGAAUAAUACCAAUUCAUGCUCAAAUCACAAGUAACCCCAGAAGCUGUAAUGGAAAUUCCAGUCUCCCCUGGCUUGACACUUGAGGAAGGAACAUAGAUAUGAUAAAUUGUGAUGUUGGAGAGCACCAUGUAAACAUUACCCACAACUGGGAUUUUCGCAGUCUUUUCAAUAUUCGGCAACUGAAGUGGGACGAGUGAGGAAAUUGCCUUAUUCACCAGUAACUCCUUCACAAAGUCAAGGCCGUUUUGGGUAAUCGACAGGGAUAUAAAAGCUUCGUUUUGGGGAUGAAAUUGAGCAUACCCAUGAUUCAAGGAAGAGGCUAGUAGAAGCAGAACAAGGAAAGAUGCCAUUUUGAUUCGUUUUCGAAAAUUGGAUUUGAUCAUCUGUUGCAAAGACAAAGAUAACAUAGGGAAAGUGGUACGAGGACAAAUCUUCCAAGGACUCAGAACACACUGUUCAUGGACUGAAAAGUCCGUUUUGCCCAUUCUGAUUUGGAGUUCAUCAAAUUGAAAAUAAAUAAAUGCCGACAAAUUCUAAAAGAUAUUAUUUAUUUAUUUACAUAAAAAAAAAAGUUUGGUAUCAUUUUCUAACCAAAAAACUAAUUUCCAAGAACCUGAUUAUGUUCAAAAUAGUUUAGAAUUAUUCUGAGCAUUUGAUAUAUAUUAUUAUGUUUAAGAAUUCAAUUAAAAAUGAUUAAUUAAACUAAAAUAAUUUUAUGAUAAUCUGAUUCUCACGAUUCAAAAUUUAUAUAUAUUACAAACAUACUUCUUUUUAAGUCAAACUUGAGUUGUACUGAACUUGUCUAUGAUCAUCACGUUAAUUGUGUUUUCAAUAUAGUCUGAUGCUAUUAUAUCAUCACUUUGAAUUAUGAUUAUUAUAUUUUAAACAUUGGUUAGUUUCCUUAUAAAAACUAAUUUUAUUUGGUUCUUGAUUUGCAAGAAGUAUCUUCCAUGUUUGUGACAUAAACACAUAAACAUAAAGGAUUUGAAUGGGAUUAGCCUUUAAUGUAUACUCUUUUUUCACUAGUACAUUUGCCCUGCUAUACUUAGGAAGUAAACUUCAUGAAAGGCUCCAAGAAUAAUACAAGUGAUAAUCACUUGUUUCCAUGCUCAAAUAUAUAUAAAGAAACUAUUGACAAAAUGAUUAGCUAUUGCUAAAGGGGCUACACUAUUUAAGAUUCAUGAUUGAUUUUUUUCUAGAGGGUCAACGUAGGGAUUAUCUUAGGUAUGGUAUUUAUGAUCGGUGCUGUCAUUUUUUGCUUUCUGAGAUCAUCCCAACCUAAUUUCAUACACGUCAAUCAUGUGCCAUUUACUUUUGCCACGUGUGGGAAAUGAUGGAGACAUUUUUGGAGGCUUUUUUAACCUAAUCAUGUGCUUAAGAUAUUCAGAAUCUUUCUAUUAAACCAACACACAUUGUUUUCUACGAAACAACAUAAUUGUUGAAUCUUAAUAAUGGGCAUUUUCAUGUCUCGGUUAUAAUAAAAUAACAACUCCUGUUCCGCAACUAAUUGUGACUGCAUUGAUUUUUUACAACUAAAUAAUGGAUGAAACUUUGGAAAACAAAUAUCAAUCAGAGCAACCAUCUCAAUCCUGCACUUGUCAUUAUGUACAAUGUACACAUAAGAUUAUGGAAUCAAGAAUCUACAAGAGAGUCCAACCACUACAUCUCAAUAUAGUACCAGAAACAUAAUAUCAGAGUUUAUUUUAUUACAAGUUACACAUUAGAAGCUUUCGAGGAGCUUAAUGUAAUCUCUGUCCUGCUUCCCGCUUGCUUUUGCUUUUGCUUAACAUCCUUGCUAGCAUUUCCCCAACCAUCUUUCUUGCUUACCUGUGGAAGCAUUAAAAAUCUAUAUUUUUAGGAGAUGGUAAAGAUACACAAGCACCAUUCUCAAGCAUUCAUAUCAUAUCUUUGGUGAUCAUGACAUUGUAUUUAGAAAGGUUAAUGAAUCAUUAUUUUGUUUCUUGAAGUUGAAAGUCUAAAGUACUGCUAUGUUAAACAAAAUUUCAGUUUAUUCAUAUAUAUAUAUAUAUAUAUAUCUGUCAACUUAUUUGUUUAGUGUCAUUCUUAUCUUUGUAAGGAAGGAACACAAAUGAAAAUUUCAGUUUAUGCUUGGCUUGGAUGGCAUGAGAAAUAAUGAAAAUUUCUGACCUUUGGCUGCUGCUCUUCAUGGAAUUGAUAACUUGGCACUGUUUUCCGUCUUGAAACGGUUCUCCUUGCCUUGAAGUUGGCCUUUGCUGUGUGGGGUUUGAAGCUAACUUUUUCUUCUUCUGAAUUGAUUGAAUAGUUAUCAAAAUGAAGGGGCACCUCAUUUGAUCCGCAGCUCUCCUUUUCUUCCCCAGCAGCAUCUAAAAAUCUUGUCAUGAUUGUGAAUUUGUGAUUACAAUUAGAAGGUUCAUAUUGCUUCAUGGCAUGGCUUUCAACUGAUGAAGUCUCUGGAAGGCGUGUUGCCAUCCAUCUCUCAAGCCAGCUCCAACUCAUAUUUGAUUCCAAGCUGUUGUGUUUUGUUAAUUUUCUCUUUGAACAAAUCCUUAGCUGCAACAACCAGGAUCAGUAUUUUGCUGUCAGCCAUGUUUGUCCUUUAUCCACAUUUGAUUGUGUGUAUUGUCAAUGUAAUAAGAAAUCACUGAUUAUACGACUUUUAAGUUAAUUGUUGUAUAAGUCAAACAAACUUAUAAUACAAGGUUGCUUGUAAUUGAAUGAUAAUGUUAAAUACACCAGUGCAUGUGCUAUUUAGUCUUUAGUGUUUACCUGUUGUGAGAAAGCAUAUGCCAGUGCUCUUUCUCUUCUGGUUGAUGCCUCCAUUCUACUCUGCAUCCUCAUUUUUGAAACAUAACUACUUACAGUGCUGUCAUCCCAGUCUUCCUGAAAAUGCCUUGUGUUAUUUUGCAGCUUAACAGAAUUUUUAUUGGUUUCAAAAUAUGGCCAAUUCAAUGGUCUAAUAACACUCUUAGAAAUGUUCCAACUAUGUGUGAUGUAUGUAAAAUGAACCAACCUUGCUUGCUUUAGCUGUAGCUCAAAUUAACAUAAAGGAUGAUUUAUCAUGUUAACAUAUCAUCUUCGUUAUUCCCUUUUAUCAAGUUUUUGUUUUUGUUUUCUUUUCUGUAGAAGAAAAAAAAGGAUAUAAUAUUAUAUUAGCCACUCUUUUUGUUAGUCAUCUGAAGUUUAAGUGGGGAAGAUGUCUUAAAAUGCUAAUUUUCUCUAAUUUCUUUGUCCUUUUCUUCUGAAUUCAUUCUCUCGAGCAUCUUAGUUUUCAUUUUCUCUUUUAACCAAAAACCAGGGGGGCUAUCAUUAGCUUGUGUUAUACCUUUUGCUUUAUUACUUGAGUUCUGGUCCUGCGCUGAAUUCGGUGGCAAAGGCCCUUUUUUUCUCCUUCAACCGAGAAAACUUCAGUGGAGUUUGCAGUUUGGACUUCAACUGAUGUGCCCAUGGACUUUCUAUCAGGACUUUCUGUUACUAAAUUGAACUCCUCUUUUCCUGUUUCUGAUCUGAUUUCUCCACUUUGACGCCUCAACUGCAAUGCAUCAUAUUACUGAUGUCAACAUUAUAUGCUAUGAUCAAUGAAUAAACAAAGUAUUAAUCAUGUGAAUUUUUGCACAAACAACUGCUAAGGAUAUUUCCUUCGGUACAAUUUUUGCAUAGACUAAGAUAUUCUGUGUGAAUAAGAAGAUUGAUAUAAAUAAACUUUGGUUAGUUUACCAGGAAGCCUCUAAAUGCUGAUUGAAUAAGAAUUGCUGCUUCUUCUUCAGUCAAUGAUUUGGAGUCUGAAUUUGGCCUUUUCUGUGUUACAUUCUCCACAGUUUCUUCACUAUCGGUGUCUCCUUUAUCAUUCAAGUCUUCCAAAAUGGACUGCGAAACCGUGACUUCAGUGCUCUUAACUGAAGCUGAAUCAUUCUCUGCAACGACUGAAUUGAACUCAUCGCCACACAAGUACGACCUAACAGAUAACCAUCUUCUAUUUUCAGCACUACUGCGUUUCACCUGCUGGCAUGUCAUAAUUCAAAGCUGGUUAAUGAAAUAUACAGUGGACAUUACUGUGACACUAGACCAAUGAAUGCUAACAACACUAUUGGAAUGUAAACUGAGCUAAAAGAAUUGUAGUACCAUGCUUUUCAUACUAUACAUACAAGGUAAAAUUAAAACAAGUAGUAAAUAAAGAAGAAAGAAGUUAAAGAAUGGAGCUUUGAGAUACCCACUUUGGUUUCAUGCGACCCAUCAGAACGAUUUUUGGAGAAGACACUUCUUACCAAUUCCCCAGUGAACCCCAUUGGAGUUUUGGAAUUUCACAAGUGAAAUGUGGAUGACUGAUAUUAAUAUGGCAAUGCAGAAAGGUGGAGUAGGGUGCAUUAUUAGGAUUGGAUAAAGUAUAAUAAGGAAAGUGACACAUUCUUACUUGAUGAAGAAUAUUAAGCAUUAAAUAUGAAUAAAGUUGGGUUAUUUUAAAGGUUACACGAAACUGGUAGCUUUAAUAUGUAGGGAGAGAUCACAUGUUAACCAGAAAUAGAUUGAUGAUGAUGAUCUGUGUGCAGGGAUUGCAGAGCUGUAAGGGUACCUUAUAAGUGAGAAAAUAAUAGAAGGUGGAAAAGUUAAAGAAGGAUAAAAGGGUAUGGAUUUGAGUGCAUGUUGUAUAUACUUUUGGCACAUGGCUUGCAGAUGGUAGGCUUUUAUAAAGCUUACUUGUUACUGGGGUAAUGUCUAUUAUUCCUUUCUGGUUACUACUUCUUCUGUCCUUAGCCUCCUAUUUAGUAUUUAUAUUUUAUUUUCUUUUCGUUUUCUUACUUUAGUUUUAUGCCACUGCCUUUGGGAACAGGUUAGGAAGCCUAUCAUUUCUUUUCUUUUUUCCAUGGAUUCUUCACUGUCAAAUUUCUACUGCUUUGGCACGUGUGCUAUGUUUCUUUGUUUUUGGAUGAACUUGCUAUGUGGUAUAAAAAUGUAAAUCUCUUUUAAUAAAUUAGUUUUAUAAAAGUCAAGUAAAUUUAAAAUUUAUUUAUGAUGAAGGAGAAAGUGUAAAAUGAUAGUAUAAGUGAAGGGAAGUAGUUAAAGAUUAGCCAUCAUAUGUGCAUGGUAAUUAGAGAAUCAUGGAUUGCUCAAUAAAAAGGAAAAGGGUACUUAGAAAACCCUACUUUUCCUUCUCUUACUCUACCAAAAAUAGAUAUAAUUUCUUUGGUGGAGCUUUUGGGAAAUUGUGGGAAUUUAAAUAAUAAAUAUUUAAACGAUGAUUAAAUGUUUAUGUCUUUUUAUUAUAAUUAUUAAAUAUUCUAUUAAUAUAUAUAGUUUUUAUUAUGACAAUAAGUAAUAUAGAAAUUUACUUUACUUUUUUUAGUUUAUUUAAACAAUAUCUUCUUUUUUUUACUUUUUUUUACUUUUUUUUUCUACUUCCUACUUUUCAUAAUCUAAUACAAUUAGACUCUGAAAUAUUUGAUUGUUUAAAUAAAUAAAGAGUUGCUUCCCGUGAUGGUAUCACUUUCUUUCGUGUGUUUUGUUGUCCAAUAUUUUAUUUUACUAAAUAAUAGUAAAACAAUACAACAACAUUUUUAUAAUGAAAAAAAAAAUAGUGAUUUCGUUAUAUGCUUAAUAUAGUUUUUUUUUUUAAUAAAAAUUACACGCUAGCGAUUACUAUGGAAUAUGCUUAAAUAUAAUUUUGUCUUUAAAAGAUCGAUAAAUUUUAUAUUUGAUUUUCAAUGUUUUUAUAUUUAUUUCUAAAAAAAUUAAUUUGUGUUUGAUAUUUUCUAAUUAUUUAUAUUAACAUGGUAUGUCACCAUAUAGUAAAAAAACAUAUUAAUUAUUAUAAAAAUAAAAAAUUAAGGAUUAAUUUUUAAAAAGUAUUUCAAAAAUUAGUUUAAAAAUAAACAUAAUGGUAGAAAGAAAUGUAAAUAAAUAUUUUGCGAGAACUAAAUACGAAUUUCAAUAAUCAAAAGUGAAGAAGAAAUUUAUUUGGUAAUUGUUAGUUUACAAUUUUUAGAGACAAAAACAUAUUUAAACAUUUGUUAUAUGAUUAUUUUCUCGUAAGAUUCUAAUACAUGAUUGAUUUGUGAAGUUCACAAUAACAUAUUUAAUCAAAUUACAAACUUAUCCUUCAUUUUACACUUAAUGACAUGAACGAAUCAAGUUUAAGUUUUAUAAAUUAGCAUUGGUGUAUAUAAUAAUAAUAAUAAUAAUAAUAAUAAUAAUAAUAAUAAUAAUAAUAAUAAUAAAUAAAUAAAGAUCGAUUUAGUAAGUUGCAAUUGUGAUUAAUUGAAUCGUUUUUUUGCUUAAAAUUCUUCUACUAUGUUUUUUUCUUCUUAUUUUUAAUUUAAUUUUUAUAUGGAAAUAUUUAUUAAAUCUCCCAUUAAUAAACUUAAAGUAAAAAAAAAACUUCAAGAGUACAUUUACUGAACAUUGUAAGUAAUAAGAAGACGUGAAGGAUAUAAAUUAUAGGCUAAUCCAAGUAGUUUAGGGAGAUACAAUCUCAUAAAACAACAUUUUGAUUAAUUAAAAAUGAUCAAGAGAAAUUAUAAACAAAGAGGUGAUGAAAUUAAUCUAGUUAAUAUAAUUUAAUUGAACAGAUUGAAGAUAGUGCAUGAGUUAUUAUAAACUUUCUCACAUGCUUUGAAUUCUUACUAAUAAAAAAUUCAAAAUUAUUUCCCUAUAACUUGGAAGUGGUAAAGAAGACUCAAUAAGAGGAGUAAACAAAACCCACACAAAAGACAAAAUUAGGAUUUCAAACACAAAUUCCUUGUAGAAUUCAACAAUUGCAUUGGUUUGGUGUUGCAAAGCACCCAAGACAAACUACAACUCAGUCUUCAUUGAUACCUCCAUUUCCAAAGAAGACAAAGUUGAAGUAAAAUGCAACUUACAAGAAACAAUCUGCAACAAAACAAAAGCACCAAUAAAGGAUGAAGCUUUUGGAUCUUUCAGUUGAAGCAUAGUUGUGAAUUAUAUUUAUUUAUUAAAAAUUUAUAUAAAAAAAUUAUUCUAAAUUAUUUACAGAUUUUUAUCAUUACUUAUGAAUUUUUAAUAUAAAUAAAUGUAUUUUUUCAAAAAAAUUAUUAUUUUUCUAUAAAAAUAUAUUCAUAUUCUUCUAAUAAAAAAUAUAUAGCAAUUCAUAAUUUUAGUGAAUUAAAAAUCUUGCAUUAAUUAAAAAUAAAUAGUAUAUUUAAAUUUAUUAUGUUAAAGCUUUGAAUUAAAAGGAUUUUUAAUUUAUUUAGAUAAUUUUAUUUAUAAGUCAUCAAUGGUGUUUAAUACAUGUAUAUCUACCCUUAAAGAAAACAUAUAGAACUUAGCUAUGUGAAAGUGUAUGUGUCUACCCUAUAAGGUAUUAAAAAAUAUCAAUAAAAAUACAAUUUUUUGGGCAAAUAAUUCAUAAAUUUAUUGACACAUAUGUUCGAAAUGAUUACUUCUGAACACAUGCAUGUGGGCAACACAUUAAUUGGUGAACCCUUCAAUAUGUUGUGUCAUUCCAUUUUGGAAGGGUUAUGGUUGGAAUUAAUAUUACUAUAUUUAGAUAUUUAAUUGAGAAAUAUUAAAGUUGUGAUGAACAUGAACAUGUGCACUCCACUAAAGAGCGUGGACUUUGUGCUUCUUUUUCCUUUCAGGGUUGGAUGCCGUAGCUAGUGCCAAGGACCAACAUCACGUAACGUGAUUAAGUGCUUUAAACAAGUUUAUUUUUCUUAUAAAGUUAUUUCUUUUUGCUUUUUUUAUAUUUUUUUGUAAGUUUAAGAAAAAUAUUUGUCAAAAAAAUGUAUGAUAUGUGGUAGCAGAAGUAGUUCACCAGAAAAUUCUUAGAGAGAAUGUGAAUUUUUCUCUAGCUAUUUUGUGUUUGGUUAUAUAUAUAUUUUCCCAAUCAUCUUUCAUUUUGACUUUUUAUAUCUUUCGUACAAGCUUGUCUUAGCUUAUAAAUAAUGUUUGUUAAAAAUAAUAAAAACAAAAUCCCACAAAUAUGAAUGAAGAUUAAUUAAUAUUAUUUCAUACUACAUUUAUACAAAGUUAAUGAAGCAUUUUCCUUUUUGAGUUCAUAAUAUUUUCAAACUUGUCCAUUCGUUUUACAUAGUAAAUGAAAAAUAAAGGUUGAUUUCAUAGAAACACCAUCCCGAAAACUAACAAGUGGUCCUGGUGUGCUUGCGUCAAGUACAAAGAUAAUUUAAGGAUAUGGUCUUAGUGUACUGGCCUUCACGGAAUGGUGUAUAAAUCUACAUACCCCUAGGUUUAUACUCUUUUCCUUCAAAAUUCCAUGAUUUUGUUGAUGUAUGGACGCAUCCAGUCCUUUGAGAUAUGUGGUUUUUGUACGGUAAUGGAUAAAUUUGAUCCAAUAAUUACAGAAAUAGGCAAAUUUGGGAAAAAUUACACAUAUGGGGAAGUCGUGCUACCCCCUAACGACUUCAAAAAGAGAAGUCGUGCCACCAUUGCACGACUUCACACUGUUCAUAUGAACAGUGAUGAAGUCGUGCUACCUAAAAACGACUUCAUGCUGUUGUAAUCGAUUACGCUGGAGCUGUAAUCGAUUANCAAAAGCUAAAGUCGUGCCACCCCUGCACGACUUCAGCUUUGUAGACCAAAACCAGUGUGGUAAUCGAUUACUUGGACCUUGUAAUCGAUUACCUGCACUCUGAUUUGUGUAAUUUGCUUGGUAAUAGCUUACCAGUNNNNNNNNNNNNNNNNNNNNNNNNNNNNNNNNNNNNNNNNNNNNNNNNNNNNNNNNNNNNNNNNNNNNNNNNNNNNNNNNNNNNNNNNNNNNNNNNNNNNNNNNNNNNNNNNNNNNNNNNNNNNNNNNNNNNNNNNNNNNNNNNNNNNNNNNNNNNNNNNNNNNNNNNNNNNNNNNNNNNNNNNNNNNNNNNNNNNNNNNNNNNNNNNNNNNNNNNNNNNNNNNNNNNNNNNNNNNNNNNNNNNNNNNNNNNNNNNNNNNNNNNNNNNNNNNNNNNNNNNNNNNNNNNNNNNNNNNNNNNNNNNNNNNNNNNNNNNNNNNNNNNNNNNNNNNNNNNNNNNNNNNNNNNNNNNNNNNNNNNNNNNNNNNNNNNNNNNNNNNNNNNNNNNNNNNNNNNNNNNNNNNNNNNNNNNNNNNNNNNNNNNNNNNNNNNNNNNNNUGUGUGUGUGUGUGUGUGUGUGUGUGUGUGUGUGUGUGUGUGUGUGUGUGUGUGUGUGUGUGUGUGUGUGUGUGUGUGUGUGUGUGUUUUUUAAUUUGUGUAUCUAUUACGCUUUAUAUGUCAUUUAUUUAAAAUUGAUUAACCAGACAAAUCUAUUUGCAACGAAAAGAGAAAACAGGUGAGAAUAACAACGUAUACUUCCAUAGAUUUAGCAUCAAUUGCAAAAUAGUCUUAAAGUGGAUGUUUGUUCCUAAAGUUCCAAACGAUGUUAGGGAAACGUUUUUUUUUAUAGCCGUCAAAAUAGGUCACAAUCCGCGAGCCAACCUGGCCCAUCACGGGUUCGGGCCGGGUUGGGUUUGAAAAAUACAACCCACUUAUAUGCAGGUAAGAUUUCAACCCGGCUCAUUUAGACCCGGCUCAUGCGGGUUGAACCCGUGGUGAGCCGGGUUGGCCCACCAACCCACCUACCUAAUUUUAUUUUUUUAAUUUAUUAUUUUAUUUAUAAAACCCUAAAAAUAAAAUACUUUCUUCACUCACUGUGUAUACCAAAAAAGUAACAUCUGCUCUCACAAAUCACUUUCAUAGUACUUGCUCUCAUUUGACGGUGCUAUCACCCUCACUUCACUGAAAUUUUUCAAGGAACAGAUAAAACACCCUUCCUUUUUUCUUCUCUUUUCUCCACAUUUUUGUUUUCUCACUUCUCUUUCUUUUUUUUUUCAAAAACCCUAUAAUAACAAAAAUAGGGGUUUGCGAAUUUGUUUUUUUUCUGGGGGAUUUAAAGACAUGGAAUGAUUUUUUCAUGUUCUGACAUGCUUGUAUCAGAUUUUGUUCAUUUUAUUUAAACAAUUUGAGUAUACAUUAUUUGAACAAGCUCUUUUUGAUAUCUUUGAAUUUGAGAAAUUAUGUUACAGAUCAAACUGUUAUUUUUUUAUUGAUAUUGAUGUUGUUGAGUACUGAUUCUCUUUUUUUAAUAUUUUUUAUUGAUUGUCGGAAUUGUUCUGAUAUUAAGAAAAUCUUUAUUAGUGAAUUUGGAGACAAAAAGAACAAGGGAGGGUUACAACAAAAACAAAAAAAAAUGAUGAAUAUAAGAAACUUAUUUGUAUGUAUUUUUUGUUUGUUUUUUAAUGACAUUUGGAUAUAUUGUACUUAUUAUUAUUAUUUUGAAUUGUCUUUAACAUAAUUUUUUGGGAGUGAAAAUUGUUUAAAUUUAAAUUAGAGAAAGUUUGUAUUUUUUUAUUUUAAAAAAAUAUAAUUAAAUGAGCUAGUGAGCCAAUCCGUUUACCCACCAACCCGUGAUGGGUCGGACCGGGUUCAAGUUUUUCUGGCUCGCUAAUAAAUGAGCCGGAUUGGAUUGAUUCACUAAGUGACCAACCCGUGGUGGACCGGGCCGAGUCGAGCCGGAUUACCCGUUUUGACAGCUCUGAUUUUUUUAAUGUAUAUCGUGUUUUUACAACAACACAAAAACUAUAAUUGCUACAUGAUGUAGUACAAAUUUAUUAAAGAAUGUAAAACAUACUAAAAAGUUAAUAUUAGUUAAAUUAAUGUCAGAGAACGUAAAAUUUAUUAAAAUAGAAAAUAGUUACCAUUUUUAGGUGAAUAAUUUUUAAAAAAUAAAACAGUACUGCUUAUAUAUUCUUUUAUUAAAAGAGCUGCUUGUACAUUUAUAUAUAUAUAUAUAUAUAUAUAUAUAUAUAUAUAUAUAUAUAUAUAUAUAUAUAUAUAUAUAUAUAUAUAUAUAUAUAUAUAUAUACACAUAUAUACAUAUACUGUUAUUUUAUUGAUUUUGUUUGUUUUAAUUUUUAUUAUUUUUGUGGUAUGUUAAAUGUAUUAAUAUUGGUUUUUGGGGUAUUUAAUAUUUGACAAAUUGUGUUGCUAAGAAGUCCUUACUUGUAGUGUGAUUUUUUAUAUAAAAAUUAUAGUGUGAGUAUUAAUAUUCAUUGUAUUAAAUCUCAAACUACUUUUCUGGAUCAUUUAACAAGAUUAAUAAUUUUUUACUAAUUCAUGAGUACUUAUAUUUUAAUUUACAAAUUACAAAAAAAUAAAUAGUUUAUAAAUAUUAUCGUUAACUUCAUAAGCUAAUUAUAUAUUUUGAACUCGUGCAUUCUACAUUAACUAAUAGCUUAUUUUUAACUAAAAUUUUAUAUAUCAUUAAUUUUUAGUAUUUAUUUCUUUUAAAUACUAUUAAAUUUAAUUUAGAUGAUAAAAUGUAUAUUUGAUGUGCUGAUUGGAUAAUUUUUCAUAAAGAAACAUAGAAUAAAAAUCUAAUUGUCAAAUUUAUAUGUAAAGAGGUUUUCUCUAUUGUAAUAUGUAUCAUUUUAGAUCUCUUUGUAUCAUAUAUUAUUAACCAAUAUAGAAAAAAUAGCAAGUCCUUAACAUCUUGCAACCUAGAAUUUAUAAUUAAUUGAACUUUUUGAGACACUUAUUUUAUACAACAUAUUAUUUUUAUUUUUAUUUUGCCACCAUAGAUAUUAAUCACAUUAGUAUGUGUAAUUCGCAAAUUCUUAAUGUUCUACGGGCUAGUCAACAAUGGUGGCUAAGUAAAAUAUUUUUCUCUUUUUUAAAUAGAGACAUUAGCCUUAAAACCAAUGUACAAAAUAUUGAUUUCCAUUUUAAAAAACAAUAAUAAAAAAAAAGUCCUCUUAUAAGUGUGCUUUUCAUUUGAUAGCUAUUUCAAUAUUUUCAUUUGUGUUAUAAUAUGAAAGAAACAUUUUUUUCCAUGAUAUUGAUAGAAGUUGAAAGAGAAAUUUAGAGGUUCGAGGCAAUUUCUAUGAAGCAACUACGAAGGAGAAUAUUCUACAAUAAUUUAGUAAAUGAAACAUUGACGAACCGUAGAUGAAAAGCAGCAGGUUUUUAUCUGCAAAAAGCUUUCUCAUCUUCCAUUAAUACUGUUUAAAAAUUUGUUAAAAAAUAAACCUUAAGUAUAAUUUAAUUUUGUAUGGUAAGAUUGUCCUUACGAUAUAUUUUAAAUUAGUUUUAUUUUUAAUAAUGUAGAAUUUCUUACACAUUUUUUCCCGAGGUACAUAUAGAUGAAUGAAAACAUUUCAAAACCACGAACUAUUUUGUCAUAAAUCAUAAUGAGACAUCUUUAUGUAAACUUGUAAGAGGAAGAGAUUUGAUGCAACGGGUCUUUUAAGAAAAUUUAUUUAACACUUGCAACAACAACGAAAAAUAAACCUAAAUAGAAAAGAAUUUACAUAAUUUUCAAUCCAAAUUUUAAGAAUGAGUUUAUGAUUUUAUAUAUAUAUAUAUAUAUAUAUAUAUAUAUAUAUAUAUAUAUAUAUAUAUAUAUAUAUAUAUAUAUAUAUAUAUAUAUAUAUAUAUAUAUAUAUAUAUAUAUAUAUAUAUAUAUAUAUAUAUAUAUAUUAUUAGAUUCAUCCUUAUCCAUUUCUAUAGAUGGUCAAUGCAUGUGUAUGCUUCUUUGACUGUAUACAUUCUUCUAGAAAAAAAGAUAGACUUAUUUGAAAGUAAAUGACAAAACCUUAUUAAUCUGCAAAAACCAGACAGUGUGGCACAGACCAUUGAGGUAACAACCUUGUACAAAACCUAAUAAUCACACGGAUGAUAUACUUAUGACAGAUUUCCAUCACAACAUUCCAGUAUUGAGUGCUGCAGAAACAGGACUUGAUUGCAACUAUUGUAGGAACAAAAACAGCUAAACCAGUGGUAGUGUGCGUAGAUUACCCAAAUAAGUUCUAUAUAUACUCGUUGCAACAUAGAUAUAUACAAGAUAUAUAUUUCAAUUUGCAGAUAACGUUGGAAGAAGUCUUCAAAUAUAAGAAUUUUACAAAUAUCAGUUUAAAGGUUGAUUUUAUCAAAACCAGAAUUGCACUUCUUAACAUAUACUAAAACCAGAUCCACGAACUCUGUAUAGAAACAAACACGUGCCAGCAUGGUAGUACAGUUACUGAAUUUUCAAGCCGAUAAAGAAUGUAUAGUGAAAAGUAGAAGAAACUUUUGUGUGUCCAAAUUUUAUCAAAGUCUAACAUGUCUCAACAUUUGCAGACUAACCUUCAAUUCUUUAAUGUAUUAUUAUGGGUUCCUUUCUCCAUGGAAUGAAUUUAUCACAAGAUGAAACCCCUGAGAGGUAUAACUUAUUUUUUUUAUAUAAGCAUAAAAUAUCAUUCUUUUGUGUUUAACAUAUCUAUAUCCAGCCAUCUCCUACAGGUAAAUUAACUCAGACGAUGGUGCAGCUAUAGUGGUCGGAAUCAUAAACCACGUGACUAUGCAUGGGAGAAGGCGGAACAAAACUGUUACAUAAUGGACAACCUUGAAGAUAGGUUGUCCAAAUUUGAAAAGGUGGUAGAUGUGAGCGUGGUGAAUUUUGCUGUGGCGUGGCUUCUUCUUCCUCCUCCUCCUCUUUUUCUUCAUCAUCUUCUUCUUCUUCUUCUUCGUCUUCUUCCAUAUCUUCCACACUUAUUAGCGUGGCAUAGUGAAAUUUCUUUCUGAGCUUAUUGGUUAAUUGAACAGCAUCGACUCCAUCUCCGGUAACCACCACUCGGUCUCUGCUUUCGCCUUCUAAGGAUAGCGAAAGCACUCCUGCAAGAUUCACAUGGCUAUUACAAGCAAACACGAUAAACACUAGCUAGUUUUGAAUUAAUUACACCACUCACCAAGCAUAAACCAAUAGUUAAUUAGUGGAAUGAAAAGUGUUUAACCAUGAACCUACCUUGAGAUUUGGCAGCGACUGUUAGGACUUUGGUUCUGCAUUUUUCACUCUCCACUUGCACCUUUAUAACUAUUCUCUGCUGCAGCAUAUGGAAGUGUUCGAAGAACACACAUAUACAAAGUUAUUUUCAAAUAAAUGUUAGCAUAUGUUACUAUAAUUGGAAGUGAUCUCACCUUCAUAUUUUAAUUUGAUGAUAUGAAAAAAACUUUAACUUUCUGCCGUUGGAGCUAGAUAUCCGUAGGUGAUAUUGUUUAAGUUAACUUCUCUGUAAUGUGCUGAUGAUAUUAUAUAUACAAUAGGUUGAGUGCGUGACAGACAUUUGGAUCCCGUUCUGCACGCCAGGUAAAUUGUUUGAUGAACAAUUUUUUUAUUUUUUUUUAAAUAGUGAAUCUUCCAAUAAGAGCUCAUGGAAAAAUUAAAAUAUAUUACAAAAACUUAAUUUAAUUGACCUAAAUUUUCUUUUAAUAUUUUUAGAAUUAUAAUUGUUAAUAGAUUAAUCAGACCUAAUUCUGUAAAAGCUACUUCAAUUUCUUUUUCAUAUUGGUGUUUUUCAUGGUAAAUUGUGUACUGAAAUUUUAAAAAUCUCAAUUACACAUUUUUAUAGAUUAAUAGAUAAGUAGAAUUUCUUAAGUAAAAGCAACUAAAUAUAUAUAUAUAUAUAUAUAUAUAUAUAUAUAUAUAUAUAUAUAUAUAUAUAUAACAAUCAUAUUUAAAAAUAAAUAUAUUGUUUUAAAUACAAACAAGACACAAUAACUAAAUACAAGCAAAGAGAAUAACGGUUAUGAGAAGACUUCAGAAAAAUAUAGUAAAAAAAAUAUUAUGAAAAUAAAUUUUAUAUUUUAGUUCAACAAAUCUUCAAUAAUACUCAAACGCGUAUAUGAUAUAGUCAAGUCGUCGAUAAGAUAUUUUUCGUCACAAAUUUGGAAGUUUGGAGUAGUGUUAUAUUUAUUUGUAUCUACAGAUAAAAAUUUUAUGCAAAUUCUUUUAACUUUUAAUUACAAAGCCGAUGAAAGUAGUUGAAAUAUGUAUUCUAACUUCCAUCAUUACAAAUAUGUUUCCUAAACAUUAUUUUAAAACAUUUAAUUUUCUUAAUUUUUAAAUAUUCUUUUAAAUAAGAUAUACGUGAUAUCCCACUUACAUCUUAGAACUCAUAAUUAUGUCUUCAUAUCAAAAUCUAUUAAAACAUAAAAAAAAAAUAAAAAAUAAGAGAGCAUAUCAAAUAUAUGACAAAAUUAUAUUUCACCAAUAUAUUAUUUUUGUAUAAAUAAAAGUUAAAUUAAUUAAUAUAUUAAUUUAAUUAUUUUCCUUUAUGAAAAACAUGAGACACUUUAAAUUAUAUAUGUUUAUAAAUAUAUAUGCACCAUCAUUUUCGUCUAAGAUUCCAAAAAUACUCAUUACUCUAAAAAAUUAUAACAAAUUGAAGUAAAAUUAUUUUUCAACUGAAGUUUCUAAAAGUUUUUUCUCUAAAGAUGUACCAUAUUUGAAAAAUAAAAAAGUAACUAUCCACUGACAGUUUUUUUUUUUUCUAAUUUUAAUCCACUACUCUAACCCAUAAUUCAAAAAUUAACUAACUCCUAAACAUAACGAACAAACUUUGACUCAAUUAAAAUUAAAAUAAAAUAUUCCUAAAGCAUUUUCCUAACACUGUAUUUUAGGAACUAGGAACUGUAAAAGUCCAUGAAAGGUUAAUGGCUUCAGUAAAAUAUCUCUUAAUCAUGAACUGUGAAUUCUAACAUAACUCUUCUUGAGAGAUUCAUCGUUGAUCUCAUUAGCACCUUCAUGCUCCUUUUCUUCUUCGUCUUCAUAGUCAAGAAGGUCACCCUCGUACACCUCGUUCCAAUAAUGUACUAAAUUGUUUCCUGGUUUGUCCAUGGUUACCCAUGAUACAAUUAUAGCCCUAGUAUUGUAGCUAGAAGGGGCAACAAAUACAUUACUUUGAAGGAGCAUGUUCUUAACCAUAUCGACAUUUCUAAUGAAAGAAUUUGUUUUGUCUCCAUGGUAAACUACAACCACAUUGAAAAGGAUCUAACAUUAAUGUUGCAGCCAUUACUGCAAAAUAAAAGAAACUCUUUGCACCCAAAAUAUGAUGAGGAUGAGUUAGCUUCUUGUGCCAAAUUUCUGUCAUGAAUGAAAAAAUAGUUUACUCCUCUCCAAUGGUUUUAGAGCAAAACUUUUACCUUUCAUUUUCCCCUCGAACAUAACUUGACCAGCUACAACAAUUUUUGUCUUCAAAAAUAAGAUUAAAUCUUCUUUCAAUAAGUUGACAUUUAACAAAUUUUGAUCAAUUUCGAAAAGAACAUCGAGAAUAAACUUUGUGCCUGCACAGCUUGUAAUUGCAGGCACAAAGUUUUUUAGAACUAAUCAACCUAAACGUAAUUGAAGCUGACAUUUUUACCUUAAUUUUAAUCCAUUACUUUAAUCCGUAAUUUAAAAAUUAACUAACUCCUAAAAAUAAGGAACAAACUUUGACUCAAUUAAAAUUAAAAUAAAGUAUUCCUAAAACAUUUUCCUAACAAUGUUUCAAAAUAUAAAUGAUUUUCAUAAUUCAACAGUGAAAAAAAUUUAUAUCUCAAAAAACUGAAAAAUUAUCCAUUGACUUCAUUUAAAUAUAGCAAUAUAUGUAGUUAAAUUACAAUACUUAAUAUUUAAAUAAUAAUUUUAUGAUUUAUUAUCAUAAAAUAAAUUUGAACACCUAAACAUAUAUAUUUUCACUAGUAUUAAUAUAAUGAAAAUGAUUUGUACGAUUAUUUUAGUUUUUAAUUAUUUAUUUGGUCUACACAAGAACAAAGAAAAGAAUGCUAAGAAAAUAAAAUUACCAUAUUGUGGCGGCUGAUCCGGCCAUGGAGGAGGCCGAACACUGGCCGCUUUAAUUAAAUUUUUGUAGUGAGUUUCUGCAGCUUUGUACCUUUGGUACCCAUAUCAUUUUGCUCCAGAAGCCGCCGUGUCGAAUCUAGUUGAACCAAGACCAGUUCUUUAUGUGUCGCCACCACCCUAUGGUAUGCCUCGAAAUCUUCCAUGGUUGACGAAGAGCAAAAAACGAAGUGAAGACUGACGACCGAAACGUUGAAUAAAGUUGUGAGAGAAAAUAUAUUUCAUGUAUACUGUUUUAUACACGAUAACUAGUAAAAAAAGGGUCUACUGCCUCAGUCAACCUCAUCUAAGAUUUCAAAAAUACUCAUUACUCUAAAAAAAUUAGGUUUAAUCUCACCAGAAGUCCCUAUUUUUGUCCGAAAUCUUAAAUAGGUCUCUUUUCUUUUUGGCGUAUCAAUUGAGUCCCUUUUAUUGUAAAUUUGAUUCAAUUGGAGGUUUGCCGUCAAAUUCACCAAACGGCCGUUAACGUUGCAUAGUCAGAGUGCACAUUAAUCCCAUGUAGCAUUACAAACAAAUUUUGUAUUAAAAAAUUUGAAUGCAGAUAUGUAUAAUCAGAAAAGCAAAGUAGGAAUAAUUAAAUCACCCUUUUUUGCUCCUGGAAUGCCAUCUUUCGUCUUCUCAGAUGACUAAAUCACACUUCCAUGGCAACACCCAAUCACGAGUUUUCCCAACAUUUUCACCACUGCAAAAAUUCCUAAAUCAAAAACCAGGGAAACCAUAAUCAAGAAACUAAUGAUUUUCAUCUGAAGAUGGCUCUUGAGAUGAUACAAAGUAAGCCCUAAAAUCCCCAUGAGUUUCAUUACCGUUUUGGGUGUUGCCUCUGCAAAAAAAAAAAAACAAAAAAAAAAACUAGCACUUCUUCACUCCCCCGUUAAUGAGCAUGUCUUGUUUUCUGUAGCUGGUUUUGGUUUCGGGAUUCUUGGCUUGAUUUCGAGAAAAAGGUCCAAUAUUUUGCUUUUGGAGAGUCAGAUUUUGUGAAUAUUUUCAGCCAAGAAGUUGCUUAUAUUCCUCACCGGUGAGCUUCUUAAAGGGUUUUGGUUUUGUUUUGGGUGUUGUUUUCACUUGAAAAUCUAGAGUGAUAGCUGGGGUUUCAGAAGAUGUGUUGGAAGACUGGGUAAACAUGGGUUUGUGUGAUUUUGGUGUUUGCGUUUUAUAAAGAGCACUUGAAAAUGCUUGUGAAGUAGAAUUGGAUGUGUAGUGGGUUCAUUGGUUUUGAUAUGUUUUUAUUGUUUGUGAGAAGUGAGAAGCAAUGGAAGGGAAUUUGUCUCAGGGAGGUAUGGUUCAAGGUGGGAGUUCCUUUGGUGGUUUUGAUCUGCCUAGAUCAAUGAGGUUUCAUCGGCAAGGGCAUCAUCCUCAUUCCAUGAAUCAACAUCAAACUCAUCCUUCGUCGGUGGUGAUCCUGGUUUGUGUCGGCGACGUCGUAGGAAGAGACAAGAUUCCUCUCUCACGCGUGAAAAGGAGGACGAAGUUUGGGCUGCUCCGUUUGGCGUGAGUGGCGUCGUCGGCGACACUCUUUGCCGACGAAGGAAGGCGCAACGGAGGGUAGGGACGACCGACGUUGGAGGUUGAAGGAAGAGGUGUUUCUCUCUUUAGGAUUUUAGGGUUCUGAUGAAGAAGAAAAGGGGUUUGCCCUUUUUGCCAUCUGAUUUAACCUUUACUCAAUCUAUUUUUUAAUACAAAAAUUAAUUCAAAAUGCCACGUCAGAUUAAUGAAUACUGUGACCAUAUCGGUAGACCUAAUUUAAACGGCCGUUUAUUGAAUUUAACGGCAAAUCCCUAAUUACUUCAAUUUUAUAAAAAAAAAAUCAAUUGAUACGUUAAAAAGAAAAUAAAUCUAUUUAAGAUUUCGAACAAAAACAGAAACUUCUGGUGAGAUUAAAUCAAAAAAUUAUAACAAAUUGAAGUAAAAUUAUUUUUCAACUAAAGUCUCUAAGAGUUUUUUUUUUCUCUAAACAUGUUUCAAAAUAUAAAUGAUUUUCAUAAUUCAAUACUGAAAAAAAUUUAUAUCUCAAAAAACUGAAAAAUUAUCCAUUGACUUCAUUUAAAAAUAUACUUAAAUAUAUAGCAAUACAUGUAGUUAAAUUACAAUACUUAAUAUUUAAAUAAUAAUUUUAUGAUUUAUUAUUAUCAUAAAAUAAAUUUGAACACCUAAACAUAUAUUUUCAUUAAUCUUUAAGAUAUUAUGAUUUUUGAAUCUUUAAGAUAUUAUGAUUUUUGAAUUAUUUGGUUCUUUGAAAUUGUAGAUUAAUUUUUAUUUCUAUCUCUUGAUUUUUUUUUUUUAAUUUCUUAAUUCAUUUUUCAAUUUAUUUUACAUUUUUAAACUUAUAACCCACAAUUUUAAUCUGUAUAGAAAAAUAUUAAACAAUUUAAUGAUAUCUUUGAUAAUCAGCUCAUGUUACAAAAUUUAGAAAACCUACAAUAGUGAAUUAUUCGGUAUCACAAUGAAUAAAUUAUGUUUUUAUUGAGUUAAAAUUGGCAUUUUUAGCUUUUUUUUAGCAUGAUUGAUUUGGAUAGAAAUUGAAAUUUUAAAUGUUUGACAAUUUAUAUUAGUUCUGUAUUAAUCUAAACAAUUUUAAAUGAUAACUCUCCUCGCCCAAACUAUAAGCCAAAUUUAGAUCAAUAAAAAAAUUUCGAGAUAGCAAGUUAGUAUAUUAGUUAAAGCUUAAAUGAUGCAAGUUCUCGGUACGUAAUGCAAUACUACAGCUUCUACAUUUUAACUUACAAUAUUUAAUAUAAUUUGAAUGUUGAGUUUCAAUAAAUUAAUUGAACUAUCAAGAGAAUGUGUUUUUUUUUUUCUUUUUUUUUUUAGGUGUUGUCGUGUUGUGUAUUAAUAGACAUCACUUUCAAAAAUUAAUAAUAAAUAGUGUUUUUAAAAAAAAGUUGUUUACUGAUAUCACAAUAAAAAAUACUCAAAAAAAAGUUAUUUAUUGGUUUUGUGUUUUUAUUUAUAAUGUUUAAUUAAAUAAGUGUUGUUUAUUGUUGUCUAUAAUUUUAUAAUAGUGUAUAUAUAAUGUUAUAAUCGUGAGUAAUAUUUUGAAUGCAAUUCUUGACAUAAAUUUAGUUUAAAUCUAAUGUCAAAAUGAUUCUAUAUAUUAAGAAUAAUUAUGAAUUAAUAGACUUUAAGUAUCUAAAUAAUGUAAAUUAAGUUGUUAAGUGGUGAUAAACUAAUAAUGGAGAAUUCACUGUACAUCUAAAACUAAUAUAUGUACAAAGAUAGAUAUUUUAAACUUGGUAUAACAUGCAAAACCCAUUUUUAGAUUUAGAGUACUUAAAAUGAGUAUUUCAUAUUAUAUAUCCUUUUAUUAUAUAAAUUAUAUUUUGAUCUAUAAUUUGUGAAUGAUUGAGUGUUUGAAUGAUUUAUAAUCAACUUCGUAUGACUUUAUAUAUCAUAGAGGUAAAAACUUAUUAGUAAUAAUAUAUUUAGGUGACAUGCAUAAUUCAUUAUUACAAAUUUGUUACAUUUAUUUUUUAGUUGACUGUCAAGAUGUUUGUUACUCUCACUAAGAUAAUAAAAAUGACAACACCUUGAAUCUAAAUAAAAAUAAAUAAAAAUAAAAUAAUAUUAGAACUUAUCUCUGUUUUUUGUAAAAUAUAAUACAAAUUAUUAGUAAAUCUAUGCAUGGAAACGUUUUUAGACUUUAAAGCAGUGCUUCAAUAUCUACUUUAAUUUAAUAUAUUAAAGAUAGAUUUAAGAGUAAAAUUAGAUAAUAUAAGCAUUUACAGUUUAUAGGGAUGUUUGUAUGUUUUAACUAAGAUGACUAACUAACUUUUAUCUUCUUUUUUUUUUUUUUUUUUUUUCUAGUGAUACGUGAUUUUGACUAUGAGAAUUACUAGAGUUGUAAUAGUAAAAUAAUAUUAUUUACACAUAUUUUAGACUUUUCUUUUAUUUUUUAUUUUAAAAAGAAAGACUUAAAUUUUUCAAGACUUAUUAUUUUUAUAAAUACAAAUUUGUAAUAUUCAAUUUAGAUCAUAACUUUUCCUUUUUUAAAUUGAACUAUUUAUGUGAAACCUUUAUAAAAGAGAAACUCUCCCCUAUUCUUACAUUUUCCCUUGUCCUUUAUUUUUGUUUCCUUCUUUCAAUCUUCAUUUUCUUUUCUUUUCUUUUCUUUUUGGUUAGGAGUGUUCUAAGAUAGUUAUGGAAGAUUCUUUAAACUAAGCCAUCAAUGAAAAUCAAGAAAAGAGUAAGUUUUCUUCUUCUUGGCUUGAAGAUAUUCAAUCUAUUUUCUUUGUUUUCUAAUUUUUUUUUUGUUUUCUUAGUUUUUUUCUAAGUUGCCUGUGAGUUUGAGUUUUCUUUACUCCCAUGAACUUUCUACAUGUUGGUUAGUUUAACUCUAUCCAAAUAUUUGACCUAACUUCCUUUAUGUGCGUAGAUCGAGUUUUGUGGGUUGAAAUUAUGAGAUAGCAUGGGUGAGCUUCAAGAACACCAAUUAAGGUGAGAGAAGCUAAUUCUUCUUGGUUUUAAGUAAAUCGGUGCUUGCAUGUUAUGUUUUGAUCCAUGAGUUAGUUUGAAUUGUUGUAGUGUUUGAUUUUGGGAUUUGGAUGUUAAGAAUAAGGUGAAACUCUGCUAUUUUUGCUCAAGCGAGAUAAAAUCUUGCUUUGGCAACAAUAUUCCAAACGUUGACUUUACUUUUGGUCGAGUUGUCGUCCAUGCGAAAAUAAUUUGUCGUCCCAACAAUAGACUUCUUGCUUAGGCUAGAAAGUCAUUACACUUAUUUUGGUUUCUAAUGAGUUGUCGCUUAGGCAACAAAUCUGUCACUCAAGCGACAACACAUUCUUGCACAUUAUAAUAGCUCAUGUUAGUCUCUGUUAAAGUGUCUUUCAAGCGACAAGAUCUCCCCAAGUGAGACUUCCAUUGAUUUUGUUUUAGUUUAAAUGUGAUGAUGGGUUAUUAAUUGAUGAUAACAUGUAUUUGGUGGUUUAUUUAUGAAUAUAAACAUGUGUAUCAUAUGAAAUGGAAAGUAUGCUAGUGUCGUCACCACACAUAUAAGUGGUUGAUAAUACAUGAAAUUAUUUGAUUAGAGCGAAUGAAUGUGAGUUGAUAAGUAGUUGAUAAUACAUGAGAAUGCAAAGAAAGAAUGUGAGUACGAGAACUUUUUUAAAAUUUUGUUAAGAUUUUUGUAAUUUAAAUGGGAAGAUUAUAUUAUGAUAUCAAUGUAUGGAAUGGAAAGAUUGGUGAAAAUAAUUGUGAAUUGCAUUCUAAGGAAGUGUGAUGACUUUAAUUAAGAGAGUGAAAAUGGAUCAAUCAAAUGGAAUGACAUAAGUUUGAAAUUAUAUGAUUGUUUGGGUUUUUCCCUUAUAAAAGGAAGAGGUACAAUUCCUUAUUAAUUUAGUGUUAUACAUUAACUAAAGAUACAUGUAGGUCAAAAGUCAUCCUAUACUCGGCAUACAAACUCAUAUAGUUAUAGUCUAGGUGGUGGUGAGAGUUGAAUGAAGUUUUUAUGGUGGGAUUAGGUGUGGGACCCCUCAUUUGACGAUGUCAUAAGUUAACUUACUUUGUCUAGAGGAAUUUUAUCAAUUUAUUAGGCUAAGUGGAGCUAGAGUCUUUGCCACAAUCCACUAUGAGAUUUUAUCAUAGAGGCUUCUUGUGUCCAAGUCAAUACAUAAAUUCAGAUAUCGAAUCUAAUAUUAUGUUCUGCUUAUAUGUUUAGGAAUGUUUUAGUGGUGGGAUCAUUAACUGUUAUGUUUUAGUUGUAUUGAGAUAUUGAGUUAUUAAUUGUUUAUGCAUGUUUAAAGUUAUAAUUAGCUUACACCCUCUUGUUGAUUUGAUGUUUUUCUUUUUGAGAUCAUCAUUCACUUAUGUGUGAAGAGGAUGAUACAAGAGUGGAUAUAAAGCAAAUAGUUUGAGUCAUAAGAUAACAUUUUUUUCUUUUGUAUUUGUGAUAGGGAAAAAAAUCUUUAGUACAAGUAGACCCCUUGAACAUAUUAUUAUGAUUGUUUCUAUUCGGAUGGCUGUACUAAUAUUUUAUAUCUUGCAUUGUUAAUUGUUUUAGAUUAUCAAACAUGUAAUGACGUAUUUUAGUAGUGAUGUACUACCAAAUUGAAAUGUUACAAUUUACUAAUUUUUUUAAUUGAUCCAUUAAUUUAUUUUGAUAUUUCUAUUUUCAAAUACUAAAAAUUGAUAUUAAUAAAAAUGGAUAAUUACAAGCAGAAGAAAAAUUAUAUUUAAUUAAAUAUUUGUGACUUUUCAAUAAUAUUAAACAUUAUCGAAAAGGAUGAAAAAUUUGGUAAAUCAUUUUAAUAUUUAAAAUAUUCAAUUUAUCACAAUUCAAACAAAUUAUUAAAUUAAGCCUAUAUUUUCUAAAAUGUUGAACAAUUACCAAUUAAUUUAAUUGUAACAUUGUAUAAGUCACUUUUUUUAUUUUAUUGUUCCGAAUAAGAUUAUGUUAGACAUUACUAUCAACUUUGACAUCUCACUGACAUAUCAAAGUCCAUCAUUCAUUUGCCAUCACAUAAAAAAUUAUUUUAAAAAAAUAAAACAAAAGAAAACAAAGCAUGAUGGACCACACCAAACCCAUUACGAAACAUUGAUAAACUAUACCUAUUAUGAAAAAAAUCUAAAGAAAUACAUAGAGGUAAAACAUUAAAACGCUUAUAUAUGAACAAAAGCUAAAUUAGCUAACUAAUCAACACAAUGAUUUCAUUCAUGAAAAACAUGAGAAAAUUUGAAUUGCAUAUGUAUACAAAAAUACAAGAUGCAUCUCUCUCUAAAACUCUGAGAAUCUACUUGUUCAUAAAAAAACAUGAGAGACUAAAGAAGAAUCACUAUCCAACAAAUGCCUUUGAAAGCCAUCCCUCUAAGUAUGCUCCAAAACAUAAAUAACCCUCAUAGACUCGGUAUAAAUAAAAUUUUGUACUCUUGAAAAACCUGAAAAUCUAUCCACAUAUUCAGUUUGACUUUCUCUAAAAAUACCAACACUUGAAGUCAAAUCAGGACAAUUAAGCUAAUUAAUAGAUGGAACUUGUUAUAUUAGGCCCACAAAUGAAACCACUUCACCCUUCCUAGUUUGAAUAUGAAAAACUUCUAUCACAAAAAAUCAGAAACAAUAUUUCUCAUAUGAUUUAUGUCCACUCAUACAUAAUAACCCUUUAAUUUGAAAAAUAGCAGAAGAGAAUGGAGUUGGAUCCUAAAAUAUACUACUAUUUCUCAUCUCCAAAUCCUUCAAAUUAUUGCACUAAUGACAAUUUAAAACAAAUGACUACAAAAAGACUUCAUAAAUUGAACAUGAAAUCCAAAGACUUUGUCGAUACUAUAUAUCUUAUUUAUCGAUAAUUUGUUUUUUUCUAUAAAAUAUGUCAACAGUUAACAUUUUAAAAUCCUUAAUUUAUUUAAAUUUUAUCGAUAAAAAUAAUUUUAAUUAUAAAAAAAAUUUAUUGUAAAUUUUUGUUUUUAUAGUAUAAUAUGUUCAUACCAAUAGUAAUUUAUUACUCUUUUAAAUUUUUUUGCUAAUUAACUUAUUAAUUCAUUUAAAAUUUAUUGAUAAAAAAAUUACUUAUAAGAAAAUAUUUAUUUCAAAUUUUAUUUCUAGGUUUUUCUCAUUAAUUAUUAAUAAUUUAUUACGCUUUUUAAUUUUGUGAUGACUUAUUAUUAAUUCAUUUGAAUUUUAUUAAUAAAAAUAAUUUUAAUUAUAAGAAAAUAUUUAUUUCUUAUUUUAUUUCUACUAUAGUAUAAUUUUUUUUUCUUAUUAAUUAUUGAUAAUUUAUUAUGAUUUUAAAUUUUGUGCUGAUUAAUUAAUUCAUUUAAAUUUUAUUGAUAAAAAUAAUUUUAAUUAUGAGAAAAAAUUUAUUUUAGAUAUUUUUUUAUUAUAAUAUGAAAAAUUUCCUCAUUAAUUAUUGAUAAUUUAGUUUGCUUUUAAUUUUUGUGUUAAUUAAUUAAUUCAUUUAUUUAAAUAUUAUUGAGAAAAAUAAUUUUAAUUAUAGAAAAACAUUUAUCUCAAGUUUUAUUUCUAUUAUAAUAUAAUUUUUUUUCACCAUUAAUUAUUGAUAUUUUGUUGUUCUUUCAAUUUUUGUGUUUAUUCAUUUAUUCAUUUAAAUUUUAUUAAUAAAAAUAAUUUUAAUAAAGAUUAUAAAAAAACUUAUUUAUAGAAGAGAUAAAAAAUUUAUUUAUAAAUAUUAUACUUUGUAGUUAAUUCAUUGUAACUUUCUUUAUUUUGUUAUCAUAGUUAAUUCAUUGUAACUUUCUUUCUUUUUUGUUAUCUAUGUAUGAUUUUUCUUUCCUAAUAGUUAAUAAGAUGAAAGAUGAUUAUAACUAAUCAUUAAAAUAAAUUUUUCUUUUCAGUUUUAUUAUUAAGUAAAUUCUUUUAAUUCAAAUCUCAUUAUAAAAAAGUUAUAUAAUUUUUUAUUAUUUUAGUAAUUACUUUUUUAAAUUUAAAUAAUUAUUCAUAAUAAAAAAAAAUAUUCCCAAUUAUGCAAUUCAAACUCAGUUUGAUCAUGCUCAGGUUGUUAAAGAAAAGACAUUUUUGAAUCAUUCUGAACAAAAACUGUGUAGAAGAGAAAAACAGUGUGGUUCUGAUAUUGCUUCAACUCAUGUUAUUUUGGUUGCACCCUCUGAUGGAAACUAGAGAAUGGAGCAAGCAUUGGGGUAUGAAUCAUAAUCCAGUAUACAUAUAAAUGACUAGGUGGAGGAAAAUUUGAAUAACAAUAAGGUAUUGGAAAGAUUUUCUCUAUAGUGAUUUGAUCAUUGGCAGGGUUUUCAUCUGUCACACUCAUAAGAGUUGCAUAGUUCAACUUCUUUCUUAAUUUAUUAGUCAAGCAAACCGAAUCAAUCGCAUCUCCAGUCACCACCACUUCAUCUCUGUCUUCACCCUCUAAUGCCACUGAAUGCACACCUAUAUGCAUGCAUGCAUAUUAUUUACAGUUCAAUCAAAUCACAAACACUAAAUCACUAAUAAUAAAGCGAUUAUGCAAUUGAAAAGUGGCAUGCAUGCACCUUCAGAGCCUGCAGCAAUUUUCAUUGCCUUGCUUCUGCAUUUCUCAUUCUCCAUGCGCACUUGGAUAACUAUUUUCUGCAUAAUUCAAUCAGUAAAGUGAAAAGCUUAAUAUAUAUAUAUAUAUAUAUAUAUAUAUAUAUAUAUAUAUAUAUAUAUAUAUAUAUAUAUAUAUUAAACCUAAUAGAAGACCGUGGAAUGUAAUUAAUAACUAAUCAAUACAAGUAAUCUCACCUUCAUCUUUGAUGACUGAAAACAGAGCACAGCUUCAGCUUUCACUUCGGGAAGAAGAAGCUUAUGGGUCAGAGUAUCGAUCAGUCUAUAUAUAUAUAUAUAUAUAUAUAUAUAUAUAUAUAUAUAUAAGAGAAAUAAAAAAUAAAAUAUUGUUGUUGACUCAAACAGUAUUUUGUCUGUAUUGUUGUUGUUGACUCAGAGUAAACGUAUUUUUUUUUCCUCCAUUUUAGACUCGGGUUGUUAUGGAAAUUAGGUGACCUUUAACGUUAAAAUAUUGUGUUUGGUUGGAAAGUGAGAUGGGAAAAGUGUAAAACCGAAGAAAUAUGACUCUCUGGAAAGACUUGGUCCGUAAUUGAAAUCUUAAUUCAUCAAAUUCUAUUUUGUUUAUUAAUGUUGCGCUGGUAGUUAAAUGAAAAAUUCUUAGAUAUAAAAAAGUUGUGUAGAAGAUAAUGAUGUUUGUUAUAAGUUAUAUUAAGGCCAAGUUUGAUUCAACUUUUCUUAGCUAUGCUUCCAAAUUAGGGGUGUAAAAAAACAGAAAAAAAAAAUCCAAAUUCAAUCUAUUAUUACACGGAUAUAAAUAGUUUUAAGUUUAUUUUGAUAAAUUUGUUUUAAAUCUGAAUAAAUGGAUUUUAAAUCCAAUCCAAUAUAUUGGAUAUUAGAUUUAGAUUAAUAUGAAAGGGAUUUUGUUUUUGGUCAGAAAGAUCCAAAAAUCAAUAGUUAAAAAGACAUUAAUUGUUUAUAACUGAGCCAUUUUGUUAUUCAAUUCGUUAACGUAAGCUUUUUUUUAUCAAUGUGUUAAUGGGCCAAAUUUUAUUAAAGUGCAAUUUGUUUCUAACAACAUAAAGAUAUAUUGAUUUAAGGAGGAUGAGUAGAGGAUGAAGGAGAAGAAAAAAAGAAAAAGGAAAGGAAGAAAAAGAUUCAUUGAUGAAUAUUUACUAAUGAUAUGAAUUUAUUAGUGAUUAUGGACGGUAUUUAUUAACUAAUGUUUAUUAUGAAAUUUUAAUCUUGAACAUUUAUUAAUGGAUUGUUCAAUUUACAGAUAAAAUUUAUCAAUGGCCAUUCUACUACAAAUUUUUUACUAUCCUUAAUCUAUCCAAAAUUCAAAAUACCAACAAAAUUUUAUUAUUAAUAAUGAUGAAUUAUGUAGGUCGUUAAUAUGGGACUUUUUUUAUAAUGAUGCAUGAUACGUCUUAAUUUAGAUAAUACUUUUUCAGUUGGCAACUAAAUUUCUAGAAAACAUAUUUUAAAAAGUUGUUACAGACAUACCAAAUUGUGAAAAUAGUAAUCGGUAAGAUGGAAUAUCAUUUUUUAAUAUAUUUGUAAAAUACUAAAUAAUUACACAAUUAAUAACUAUUCUAAACUAAAUUAAUAAUUAAUACAGACUAAAGAAUAAUUUUAUAAUUUGAAUUUAUGUUCAAGAAAGUGAAGAAUUGAUGCAUAAAUGAUAAAGAUAAUCUUUGAAAUUUAAAAAAACUUAAAAAAUGAAAAUGGUUAAAAAUAAUAUGGAUUGAUAUUGUUAGUUUUAGUUUUCACCAACUUCCCAAAUAAUAACAUUUAUUUUAAUAUCUUGAUAAUUUAUAAUAGAUAAACAAUUUAUUUUAUUUUUUAAAUUAAAUUAUUGAUGCAUAUUGUUAUAUUCUUAAAAUAAAGUUAUCAAAUAUUAUUUGAUAGAGGGUAUAAAAAUACAAAUUUUCGUGUUUAUUUGUCAUGAUACAAAUUUAUUAUCUAUGUAAAAACCCAUAUAAGGUAGCUUUUAAUGGCAUCUUUCUUAUUGAUAGAUUAUUUCAAUUUAAUCAAUGAUUUAAAUUUGAACCUUAAGUAUUUUGUUAUGUCACAUACAAACUUAAUAUAAUAAUUUGGGAACAAAUUAAAAGUAAAAAUAAAUAUUUUAUUAAAAUUGAAAGCAUCAACUCAUUUGAACUAUUUUUUUAAAAUUAAAACAUCAAUUAUUUUAUAAAGAAAAACAUACAUCCAAUUUGCAUGGAAAAAAGAUGUCCCAUCUUGAUUUGGAAAGGUGAAGGAAUUGUUGAAAUCAAUUGGAUAUUAACUUCUCAUUAUUUCAGUCUUUUUUUUUCUUAAAAAAUGUUUGAUAAUGUAUAAAUCAGAACUUGUAAAAAUAACUAAAAUUUUUUUGAUUUCAACACUAUAUAAUACAUUAACCAUGCUACAUAAGAAUCAAAUAUACUGUUUCACAAUUAAUAAUAAAAUGCUUGAAACUUUUGUUCGAUAUUUUCUCCUGUUCCUGCCAUUUUUUUAAAAUGCAUAUUAACGUUUUCCAUCUCAACGCGUAAAACUUAAUUUAUUUAAUUUGAAAAAAAGGGUCACAUUUGUAAAAAAAAAAAACAUUAUGAAACAAAACAUUAUAUAUUGAAUAAGAGUAGGAUGACAUAUAGUGAUAUUCAUUUGACACACCUGAGUAAAUUGUUAUAAAAGAGUAAAUUUUUAUAAUUUUUCGGAAAAAGAAAAAAAAUAUUGAAUGAAUGUAAAAAAAAUUAUGUGUAAGAAAAUAUAAUUUCUCUUAUAGAUUUUUCUUACAAACUUUUUUUCGCAAACAUGUUGCUCCAAUAUACAAGUGGCUCAACAUGCACACACUCUUAUUUUGGAUGCAACUGAUUCUUCAGCAUGUUAUUGCGAGGUCUACGAACAACUGCAUGGUAACCAUCAUUUCACGUACCUUUUACUCAAAAAAAGGCCAAUCGUCGCAUUUGAACUGAAUACCUAUUACUACGCAAGAAAAGAAAACGACAUAACAUGUCAAUUUUGAGUUUGAAACACGGAUCUACCUUAAGACAAGUUCCAACAUUAAAAGACAUUGUUAUAAAAAUAGUAAACAGCACUGGUUUUAAAUUCCCCGAGAUUGUAUUGUCCACCAAGCCUGCUCAUUUCAUCACUCUGAAAGACUGAACUGAAGAGAGAUAUUGUGCUCGCAAUGGCCAAAUAUUCCAAAGCAAUGCUCGUGUUAGGUCUUGGGGUGUUGGUGGUUAGCAUGUGGUGCAUGAAGGGCACUGAGGGUAGCCUUGAAGAUGAAGCUGCUUCCAUCAUUCACACAGUCAAACGUGACGACUCUUCUCAUCAAGGGUGUGGUGGAUCCAGCCACACCGAGGGAGGAGUGGAAGAGUGCUCGGGCAAAGAUGACAAACUGGGAUUGUAUCAUGAUGUUGAUGACACUUUCAAGGCUGCCGCAAAAAGAGCCACUUCUAAUGGCGAAAAUGACGACUCUCCUAAUCUUGGAAACAACAAUGUCAAUGUCUUGGGACAUUGAUACGAUUAUACCCUGUUUGGUUUCAUGUUUCAGUGCGACUUUUCACUUUCGUAUUAAUUUUUUCUAGAUAAAAUUGCAAAAUUUCUUGUAGAUUUUUACGAAACAGUUUAUAAAGCAUAGUUUUUAUGUAUUGAGAUUACAUAUGGAAUUCAAUGUUUACUAUUGUUAUUCAAGUGAUAACACAGUACUGUAGCUAAAUCAAUGAACAUAAAGAAUCACAAUGCCUGUAGGAUAAUAAAUUUGAAAAACUUUUAUAGAAUAAACUUUGCAAGAAAUGUAUUUAGUCAUUACAAGGGUUUAGUUAUGCAUGAUACCUUUUACUCUUAAUCUCACAAUUAGAAAUAUAUAAUGGCUAGAAUAGUUGAGUUGGAAAAGUAUGGUGAAGAAAAUAUAAAGCCUUUUAUUCUUUUUUUUUUUUAUCAUGUCUUAGAAAUUAAGAACACCAAAACAAUCUUCUGAUAAGAAGAGUGGAAUAGAGGAAAAGUAAAUAGAGACCUAACAACGAAAAAAUUGAAAUUGAAGAUAACAAACUAAGAACGAAAUUAAAGAAACAUAGAGCAAACAGAGUGAAGUGUAAUCAAUUUUAUUUUGGCAAAAUUGUAAAUCCUCAAGUAUAAUUUUUCUAAACAAAGUUACAAAAGUUCUUGUACUAUUUUUACGAACCAAAUGAGCGCAUUUAAAAAAUAUUUCAAAACAUAGAUAUCACGCAAUGGUUACAGGUAUACUAAUGGUAAAAUGAUAUACAUUUAUAUUUAUUUUACAUAUAUUACAAAAUAAAAUAAUCAUUUUGUAUUUUUAAGAAGAAAAAAAAUAAGUAAAAAAUAAUAUAAAAAUUUAUAAUUUUAUCAUCGUUUUAUAUUUAUAUUUUAGGUUUAAACCUCUUUUUGGUUCCUAAGAUAUGAGUGAUGUUCAGUUUAGUCCCCGUUUUUUAAAAUGUAAAUCUUUAGUCUCUAAGUUAUAAAAAAUGUAUCAAAUGAGUCCUUUUUUGACUUGAAAUACUCUUUUUGGUUGUUUCUUAACAACUGCUACAUCUUUAGAUUGCUCUGAUUUGUUUCUUAAUAAUAACAACAGUUUAAAUUGCUCUUUGUACUUUGACCAUGAACAUAAAAAAAAGGACUCGUUUGAUACAUUUUUUAUAACUUAGGAAUAAAAGGUUUACAUUUUUAAAAGCGCGGACUAAACUGAACGUCCGCUCAUAACUUAGGGACCAAAAAAAGGUUUAAACCUAGAUUCUAUAUCAAAUAAAUAUAAAAGUAUCUCAUGUUAUCACUGCUUUUUUAUUCAUAAAUUUUCAUGUUCUUCUACAUAGAUACUGAAAUCGAAAUUUAGGUUACAAAAUGAAACUAAUUGAAAUUUAGGUUACCAAAUGAAACUAGCUUCACUCACAUUACAAAACAUCUUAUUUUACAUAAAGUUUUCAACCCUAAUUAUAUCAUUAUUCAAUAUAUAUAUAUAUAUAUAUAUAUAUAUAUAUAUAUAUAUAUAUAUAUAUAUAUAUAUAUCUUGCUCUUGUCUUUAGGUUUUUAUUCUUGAUCUUGGUUUUGUCGUUCUUCAUANNNNNNNNNNNNNNNNNNNNNNNNNNNNNNNNNNNNNNNNNNNNNNNNNNNNNNNNNNNNNNNNNNNNNNNNNNNNNNNNNNNNNNNNNNNNNNNNNNNNNNNNNNNNNNNNNNNNNNNNNNNNNNNNNNNNNNNNNNNNNNNNNNNNNNNNNNNNNNNNNNNNNNNNNNNNNNNNNNNNNNNNNNNNNNNNNNNNNNNNNNNNNNNNNNNNNNNNNNNNNNNNNNNNNNNNNNNNNNNNNNNNNNNNNNNNNNNNNNNNNNNNNNNNNNNNNNNNNNNNNNNNNNNNNNNNNNNNNNNNNNNNNNNNNNNNNNNNNNNNNNNNNNNNNNNNNNNNNNNNNNNNNNNNNNNNNNNNNNNNNNNNNNNNNNNNNNNNNNNNNNNNNNNNNNNNNNNAUAUAUAUAUAUAUAUAUAUAUAUAUAUAUAUAUAUAUAUAUAUAUAUAUAUAUAUAUAUCAUGCUCCAGCCUUUAGGCUUUUAUUCUUGAUCUUGGUUUUGUCGUUCUUCAUACAAUCACUACAUGAGAGGUAAUUAAUAGCUCAGAGGAUGGAGCAGUUAUUAGGGUAUGGAUCAUAAACUAUGAAAGCAGGUUGAAUGAUAGAGGUGCUACAUUUUGCACAAAACGGAGGAUAAAUUUUCUCUGGUACGGUUUCGUCUUCUUCUUCUUGGCCAUCCUCUUCAACUCCUCCUUUUAUAUUUUCCACAUGUAUCAGGGUAGCAUGGCGGAACUUCUUUUUCAUCUGUUUCGUUAAGCAAAAAGGAUCCACUCCAUCUCCAGUUAUCACAAUUUCACUGCAUUCUUCAUCUAUUUCUAUUGAUUCCACACCUGCAUGUUUCAUAGUACACAUACAUUUUGGUUAUGAAUCAAGAUUUAUAUAAAAACUAUAGCUAUACCUAGUUUUUAUUCAACAUGGUACAUGCACCUUGACAUUCAGCUGCAAUUACCAUAGCCUUCUUUCUGCAUUUCUCACUCGCCACCUGCACCUUUAUAACUAUUUUCUGCAUCAUAUGAACGUAUAUAUUAAUAUACAUAGAAUUAUUCAAAUAAAUAUCAUAUACCUUGACGUUUAUUGAUUAUUGCAAGUAUAUCACCUUCAUGUUUGAUAAUGAAGCUGAAGGUUUUGCAGUGGCUUUAUGCUCUGUUGGAGAAGCACGAAAAAGCAGAAACUACAAUAAUGUCGAUAUAACAAGAUAAUGUUAUAGUAUAUAUAGAGAAAUUAUGGAUGUGAGUUGGUGGUCCAAAUAUAUUGAACACGUCUCUUUUUUAAUUAAUUUUCAGAACUAUUUUUAUACGUAAUGCCUCUUCACCUUUAGAAAUAUAGAUAGAUACAUGCAUUAUGUAAAAAAAAAAUCAAAAUAAUGAAAAGAAAAACUGGUUUAUUUAUUUACCAUUUAAAACAGUUUUACAUAGUCAUUUAGAUGAAAAUCAUCAAAUAUGAUAAAUUUGUUAAUCUUUACCAAGAUUAUUUUAAAAGUAAUUAUAUUAAUGUUAUUCAUAUUCAAUAACCAGGUAAAGUACAUAAUCAUUAACUUUUAUAAACAAAAGUUGAAAAUUAAUUUAAAAGAGAUAAGUGAGAAGUAGAAUUGCCUUGUAAUUUGGGGCUAGACUUGGUAAUUGAAUUAAUUUAGUUUGUCACAAUCAUAUAUAAAUGCAUUAUUGAUGAGGUCUUCGUCAACAUAUCUUGCUUAAUGAGGUUGGCACUUUCUGUAAUGUUACUAUCAAUCAAUUUGUUAUCACGAGUUUAAGUAGAAUUUUUCUUCUUAUAAUUCUCAAUUCAACUAACAGAUUACCUUAUUUUAGUACAUAUUGAGUUGUUUAAGAUUAGUUAAAAAAAUAUUAUAUUUCUUUUAACUCUAUCAAUCAAUAGAUCACAAAAUAUUUAUUUUAAGUUCGAGAUUGUUAUCAUCAUAAUACGAAAAAAAAUAAUUUUUAAAAUAUUUAAACUUUAAAAUCAUAAUAAUAAAAUAGUAAUUAUAAAUUUUCUUUGUAAGUCAAUGAAUAUAUAUAUGAGUGUGUGCGGGGUGUUACAAAUAUGAUUAAAUUGUUUUCUAAACAUUUAUAUAGAAAAUUAAAUGAUAUAACAAUUGAUGAGAAAAUGGAUCUUAUCACAUAAUGAUACUCAUGGUUUAGAAAUAAAAUACUUUAUCAACUUUGGUUGAUGAGACAAAUUCACUUUAUCAUUUAAGACAAGAAAGACAAUGCCUUUAUUGAUUUUUCUGCAAAAAAAUUAAACAACAAUUUUGUUUAUAUUGUAAGUGUGAGUAGGUGUGGAAGUCUUUGUCUAUUUUUCUUCUAUUUCACACUUGUGUUAUGAUUGGAAAUUGAAAAUAGUAUUUAAGCACGGGGAGAUGGAACGAGUGAUGAGCGAUAGAUAUGUGAAGCAAAUUCUUAGUAGGUCAACGGAGGACUUGUUAGAUUAUAAACAAAAUUAGUGAACCAAAUCAAUCUAAGAGCAAUCAAAUUUUAUCAUACAAUAAACUAUUUUCAAUUAUAAGUAUGUGGAAGCCACCACUUAUCAAGACUUGGGUGGUUCAACUCCAUUGACGCAUUUGGAAUCAAGGUUGGGUGGUUCAGACAAAACAUCGUAUGGAAAAGGUGUCGAGUAUCAAUUAAAGGGACCACCUAAUGCAAUUUUCAAGUACUGUUAAAACAGAUCAUUGGUCCAACCUGGAUUGAUGUACCAUGAGUUGACUAUUUAGUGAGUCAACUCAACCCGUCUCAUUUAUUAAUAAAUAAAUUAUCUCAUUAGCUCACUUAAUUACACAUUUUUUUAUCAAUUAAAAAAAUAACAAAAAUUUUCUAAUUGAAAUCUAAACAAAGGGGGUCUUAAAUUAUUUAUGAUCAAUCAAAUAUAAGAUUUCAUUGAUACAAAGAUAUCACGAAAUCUUCUCUAACAAAAUUUUUAGUAACUUCAUAACAAUUCAAAUUUGUGUUUUACAUACAAAAAUAAUUUCACUUAGGGUUUAGGGUUUAGGUUUUAGGGUUUUAGGGUUUAGGGUUUGCGGUUUGGGGUUUGGGGUUUUGGGUUUAGGGUUUUGGGUUUUGGGUGUUGGGUUUUGGGUUUUGGGUUUUGAGUUUUGGGUUUAGGGUUUAGGGUUUGGGGUUUAGGGUUUUAGGGUUUUAGAGUUUACGGUUUUGGGUUUUGAGUUUAGGGUUUACGGUUUAGGGUUUAGGUUUUAUGUUUUAGGGUUUAGGGUUUAUGUUUUAGGAUUUUAGGAUUUAUGGUUUAGGGUUUUAGGGUUUAGGGUUUAGGGUUUUGGGUUUAGGAUUUUGGGUUUAAGGUUUAGGGUUUUAGGGUUUAGGGUUGUGGGUUUAGGGUUUAUGGUUUAGGGUUUAGGGUUUAGGGUUUAGGGGUUAGGGUUUAGGGUUUAGGGUUUAGGAUUUUGGGUUUAAGGUUUAGGGUUUUAGGGUUUAGGGUUUUGGGUUUUGGAUUUUGGGUUUAGGGUUUAUGGUUUAGGUUUUAGGGUUUAGGGUUUAGGGUUUAAUCUAACAAAAAGUACUUUUUAAAAUAAUUAGGUGGAUUGGUGUCUAACCUGGUUCACCAUGAGUUCAACCCGAAUGAACCAAAUUCUUAGUAUUUCCAAAUUGAUAUGUAUCGAAAUUUUAAAAUAUUUUUCAACUCAACUCGACUCGAACUUGUAAUGAACCGGGUUAGCUCAUGAAUUCUAAUCUAUUUUGACAAGACUAAUUUUCAUAAAUUUACAUUAAGUUAUAUUUAUAUAAUAGCUAAUCUUAUAAUUAAUUUAUGCUAUAUAAUGGAUAUAUAUAUAUAUAUAUAUAUAUAUAUAUAUAUAUAUAUAUAUAUAUAUAUAUAUAUAUAUAUAUAUAUAUAUAUAUAUAUAUAUAUAUUAUACAUAUACAUUUUUAUAAAGUUAACAAAGUAAUUAGAUAUAAUAGUUUAUAUAAAAUGAUAUUUUUUUUUCAUUCAUAUUCUAGUUUCUCGUUGAUUUAUAUCACUUUUAAGGUACUGCUGCUAGCUUGUGAUUGAAGUAAAACCUUUUUGUUUUCUUCGUGAAUAUUCUAUUAUUUUUCUUACUUCAGAAUUUAAUAAUUAUGCAUUUUCAUUGUGGAAACUUUAAGCUGUCAACAAAUUCGAAGUGAUCCUUAUACAAGUGAACCAAAAAUGGUUUACCUUUUUCUCUUUAUUUAGAUUUUAUUUAUUAUGUAUUAUUAGUAAACAAACUUUUACAGUAAUAACUAAUCAUAAAUCACCACGACAACAAGACCAAUAACAGAUAUUUAAUAGUAACAAUAAUGAUAAUCAUAAAUCAAGCAAAAUAUUUCAGAAGGAUUUGAAUUUAUGAUUGAUAAUGAAAACAGAAAAAAAAAAGGUUUUUAUAAGUGAACGAUACCGUUUUGGCAGUAAAAGUAUGCAAAUGGACAAAAUUUUAAAAAAUUGCAAGACGUAGGUAAGUCAUGUGGAAAACAACACUAUAUGGAAAAGUCACGCACCGUACGAGUUUGCUUCUAUGUUACUGAUGCUUUAACACAAUUUUUUACAUUAAUUUGAUAUUAUUUCUUUUUAUUUUUUAUUAUCUGUUUUAAAAUACAAAAAAUUACUUUUUAUAAUUAUUUUAUUGCUAUAGCAUAUAUUAAAUGAAUAUAAAAAUAAAUAUAAACAUGUAUCAUCUUUUUGAUAAUAUUAAUUUUUGGCUUGGAGGAUAUCGAAGAAAGAAAAGUCAUUAAAUAGGAAUUCGGGUGCAGGACUUGAAUGUUGUGUGGGGCUUGUGCAGCAUGUUCAACUAAUGGAAUCAAUGCAUGCAUGUGCAUCAACAAUGAAAGUCACAGAUUCUCCCUACAUGGUGCCAAAAUCAAACAAAUUAUCGUGUUAAAUACAAUCAUUGCACAUCGUGUGACCAAGAAACCAACACAUUGAACAUAUUCCAUGGAAGUAGUUUGGAGGUGCACCAGUUAUUGUUCUGGAACUUCUAUGUAUCCUGCAAAUAACAGCUUAGGUUUUCCUGGGAUUUCACUUUUCAGUGAUGGCUUUAAUUAAAUUAUAUGUUGUCAUGUGUGAGACACAACAAAAAUCUCAUGUAUUAAAUUGUAUAAAUGUUUUUGACAGAAUGUUCAUAAGAAAAUUUAUGAUGAUUACUGAAGAGAAUAGAAUGUAAACAACGGAAAAGUUUAUAUACAAAUAAAACGAAGAUAACAACUAUAAUAACGAUUACAAUAAGAAAAAUAGACGAAGAGAUUUGUUAUCUCUUUAUUAUGCAUGUUUAGCUUGGAUUUAAUAGUAUUAAAUAAAGAAGAAUAUAGGAACUUUGCAAGAACGUCAACAACUUGAUUGACUGAAGACACGUCUAGUAAUGUGGUAGACUAUGUUUUUGGUUUUCCAAUGAAAUGUGAGAUUCUUUACAAUGUAGAUGAUAAAAUUGUUGUCACAAUAGAUUAAGUAUGAAGUAGAGCACAAUGUAUGUAAAUCUUUUAAAAAGUAGUGCAGUCAUUAAGGUUCACAAGUUAGAGAAAGACUUGUAUUCAACUACAGAGAAGGAUUUAGAAACGGUGAUUUGUAUCUUUGACUUUCCAAAAAUGAGAGCAAUUCCAAGAAAGACACAGAAACUAGAGAUAGAUCUUCUAGUUGUAGCACAAGUGGCCCAAUCAAAAUUAGAGUAAACAUGAACUCUAAAGGAAUUAUUAACAAUCCAAAACCAGAGCAUUCUUUAAGUAUCUAAUAACUCUCAUGACUUGUUGCAUAUGAGGUUGUCAUGGAGAAGAGACAUAUUGGCUAAGUUGUUGGAUGGCAAAAGUAAUGUCAGGGCUCGUAUUUGUGAGAUAGAUUAACCUUCCAAUUUAAACUACAAUAAGAAGAAGGAUUUGUGAGGAGAGUUUCUUCGUCAGCAUGUAGUUUUACAAAAGGAUCAGAGGGUGUAAUGGUUGGUUUACAUACCAACAUACCAGCUUCAGAAAUAAAUUCAAAACAAUAUUUUUUGUGAUUUAUGCACAAUCCAACUUUAAACCUAGCAAUUUCAAACUCUAGAAAAAUAUUUGAGAUAUCCAAGGUUUUUAAUGUGGAACUUGUUGUGAAAAUGAUUUUUAAUAGUGGUAAUUUUAUAGAGGUUGUUUCCAAAUAUAAGGAUAUCAUCAAUGUUAGACCUGUCAAAUAGGCUCCUAUAAUAAGCCCUGGUCCUACCUCAUGUGGGUUAGGGCCAAAAAAGUCCUUUUAUUAAAAAAGCCCACAGGGCUAAAAAGCCCCAAAAUCUUGUGAGUCAGGGCCAACCCAUGGGCUUUCUUUUUUACAAAAAAAAAUAAAUAUUCAACAAUAAAUUGCAUUUUUACAGAGAAAAGAAACACUUAUAUUCAGUGUUAUAACUUGAAAAAUUUAAAUUAUGAAGCACACAAACUCAAUCAGAGAAAAAACUAUCAACUUAUAUAGCAGCCAGAAUCACAAACAGUAAAGAAUGAUUGUCAAAAAUACUUGAAUGUGAAGAUUGGUGGCAGUGUUUAUUUUAUAUGCUCUCUAAUCAGGCAUAGUCAGUUGAUUUACUCCAAUACCUAGAGCCAUCAAAAUGGGUCACAACCCGCGAGCCAACCCGGCCCGUCAUGGGUUAGGGUCGGGUUGGGUUUGAAAAAUACAACCCAUUUAUGUGCGGGUCAGAUUUCAACCCGGCUCAUGCGGGUUGAACCCGUGGUGAGCCGGGUUGGCCCACCAACCCACCUACCUAAUUUUAUUUUUUUAAUUUAUUAUUUUAUUUAUGAAACCCUAAAAAAUAAAAUAUUAUCUUCACUCAUUAUGUAUACCAAAAAAGUAACUUCUCCUCUCACAAAUCACUCUCACGGUACUUCUCUCAUUUGACGGUGCUCUCACCCUCACUUCACUAAAAUUCUUCAAGGAGCAAGUAAAACACCCUUCUUUUUUUCUUCUCUUUUCUCCAUAUUUUUGUUUUCUCACUUCUCUUUCUUUUUUUUUUCAAAAACCCUAUAAUGACAAAAAUAGGGAUUUGCGAAUUUGUUUUUUGUUUUGGGGGAUUUGAAGACAUGAAUUAAUUUUUUUUAUGUUCUGACAUGCUUGUAUCAGAUUUUGUUCAUUUUAUUUAAAUAAUUUGAGUAUACAUUAUUUGAACAACCUCUUUUUGAUAUUUUUGAAUUUGGAAAUUUAUGUUACAGAUUAAACUAUUAAUUUUUUGUUGAUGUUAUUGAGUACUGAUUCUCUUUUUUUUACUAAUAUUUUUUUAUUGAUUGUCGGAAUUGGUCUUUAACAUAAUUUUUUAGGAGUGGAAUUUGUUUAAAUUUAAAUUAUAGAAAGUUUGUAUUUUUUUAUUUAAAAAAAAUAUNNNNNNNNNNNNNNNNNNNNNNNNNNNNNNNNNNNNNNNNNNNNNNNNNNNNNNNNNNNNNNNNNNNNNNNNNNNNNNNNNNNNNNNNNNNNNNNNNNNNNNNNNNNNNNNNNNNNNNNNNNNNNNNNNNNNNNNNNNNNNNNNNNNNNNNNNNNNNNNNNNNNNNNNNNNNNNNNNNNNNNNNNNNNNNNNNNNNNNNNNNNNNNNNNNNNNNNNNNNNNNNNNNNNNNNNNNNNNNNNNNNNNNNNNNNNNNNNNNNNNNNNNNNNNNNNNNNNNNNNNNNNNNNNNNNNNNNNNNNNNNNNNNNNNNNNNNNNNNNNAGAAUUGGAAACUAAAAAAAGAGAUAUUUUUAAAAUAUAUGAUUAUUUGAUAUUAAUUUUGAUUCAAUAAUGACUAUAGAUUGUUUUAAUUAAAAUAUAUGUGUGCUUGACUUUUUUUUUUUGAAAGAAAAAAUAAAAAGAAAAUUAUUAUCAUAAUUAUAAAAAUGAAUAUAAAUAAUUUUUAUUAAUUUUAUAAAUAAUUUUAUGUUAAAAAUAAUUUUUUAGUUUAUCAAAAUAGUAAGUUUUAGAAAUAAUUAAAUAAUUAAUAAUGUUUAAUUUACAAAAUAUUACCAACAGAAAUUAAUAAGAUAAUAAUUUUAAUUAAAAUAUAUAUUUAAUAAGAUAAUAACUUUUAAGCUAAUUUUAGUCUAUGGAAAACAGUUAUUUUUACUUUUCUAUUUUUCAAACGACGUACACCAACUAUCUCAAAACUAACAAAUGUUAGUUUGUGGAAAAAUAAUGUUUUGACAAAGUUUAUAUAUAUAAUUAAUUGACAACUUGUUUAUAAUAAUAUAAUAAUAAUAUUAUAACAAUAAAAUUCAGAUGUUAGAAAGAAAUAUUUAUUAUUAUAAUAAUAAGAUUUAAUAUAAUAUAAUAUAUAAUAUUUAUAAUAUGAGAGAGAGUAAAAUUACAAUAAAUCAUAUGUAUAUAAAUUAUAUUAUUUCUAAAAUUUAAUUAAAGUUUUAGAGUGGGGUUAAAAUUUAAUUAAGUUUUAGAGUGGGGCUAAACCCACUUUAAUCCUGACCCUAACCCACUUGAGAGGGGGUUUUAGGGGUUGGGGCUUUUUUUUGGCCCCCUACUUGGGGGACUUCUUAAAAUAGGGCUUUUUCAACAGUGGGUUGGGGCUGGCCCUGGGACCAUGGGUUAGUUUGACACCCCUAAUUAAUGUAUACUAGAAGGGCAUUACUCCCUGCACCUCCCCAUGUGCUCCCUCCACCUCCCCUUCCCUUAUUUACCCUUCAUUCUAAUUUUUCUAUUCCUAUUUUAUCCUUUUAAUAAAAGUUUGUUUUACAUUAAAAUUUUAUAAUUUUUACCUACUCGAUUACAUAACCUAUAACCUAUUAUUGAUUCUCUAUAAAUAUUUUACGUGUUUUCAUUCUUACUCUUUAGUGAUAGAAUUCUUUUUCUUGUGAAAAUGUGAUGAAAAGAAUGUUGUCCAAUAGUUCAAACAUAUCUACAAUUGAAAGUAGAAUCUGUAAUUAAAGGUAGAAGUUCAAUAGGCAGUACUUUGCAAGAAUAAACCUUAAUCCUAAGCGUUGAUAGGGUCGAAACCACUCUUAAACCGAUAUGAGCAUCCGUGGACGGAUAUCAACAUCCGUUUCAGGGCCAAGGACGUCUUCCUUCUCAUACGCACACACAGAAACCAAACCAAACACAGCAGCAGCAACAUACAGGCGGAAGAAAAAAUCUAGGGUUAUUUAAUUACCAACCAUCACUUUCCUACCCACACUCACACUACAGAUAACAUAUAUUCAUAGAGAGGAAGAAUGAAUCAAUACCAAAAUAAUCAAUAAAUGACAUUAAAAAAUGGAAUCAGAAAAGGGGAGGGAAAAAGCGUUUUCCUCCUCGGCACCGGCGGGGGUGUCGCUGGGGAUGUUUAACAUUUGAAAAGAAAACCCUCGAAGGGAGAGGAGUGAGAGUGGUGCUGGUGGCGCCGGCGAGAAGCGAACUUCGGUGAGGGCGGCGGUGGCUAUCUUCGUCGACGGUGGUUUCGAUCGUGGUGGUGAAGGCUCGUCUCAGUUCGAGCCACAACCUCUCUCUCGCGCGGGGAUGGUUCUUGUUGAUGAUGGGCAUCGUCGAUGACGCCUUGGGUCGAAUGGCGACUGCUCCGGCGACAAAUCGCAUCGCCGGCGCAACCCUAGUUCGUGGUCCGAGAAGCGGCGACUGAGGUACGGCGCGACUGGAAGGCGAGUUCUCUCGCACACGUGAAAUGAGGGAAGACGAGGUGGCGUUGCGGCCAACGAUGACCCUGGUUGCGCUUGGGGUCGCCGGCAACGUCAUGGACCAGGCGGAGGGCACCCUUGCGGUGGUCGUUUUAGCGAUGGUCGUUUUAGCAGAGGCGGAGGCAGCUGGAGCGUGAGUGCUUGAGCAAAGGAAGAGGGUGCUUCUGGGUUUGAUUUGAUCGAAAAAGAGUCUAGGGUUUCCAGAAGAAGAGGAGGCUUGGGUCUCUGGGAUAAGCAGUGUUGAAAUGAAAAUAGGAUGAGGAUAUCCUGAUUUCUGAUCAGGUUAAAAAAGUAAAAAAAAUAAAGUAAGAAAAGGUUGUUUUUGUAAUUAAAAAAAAUUAAAAAAAAAAUUGAGGGGGUAGAGGGAGUGGAUGGGGAGGUGGAGGGAACACCACCCAUACUAGAACGAUGGUGAUAGUAGAAGAAGAAUGUUUGAUAAACAAAGAAUGGUCAUCUGAACUUUGUGUAUACUCGAGAGAUAGUAACUCAGAUAUCAACUUGUGAUUCCAAUUCUUGUUAUCUUGAUUUAAAACAUAAAGCGAUUUCUGAAGCUUGCAAACAGGAUUAGGAUUAGAAGGACAAAGACCAAUAGGAGGCUUCAUGUAGAUUUCUUUGAUUAAAUCACCAUGGAGGAAAGAAUUAUCAACAUCUAACUGAUGAAGAAACCAUUGAUUGUAAGGGGAGUCCAUCCACAUGACGGAUUGUUUGAUUGGAAGAGACGUAAAACGUGUCAACCAUGACAUCGCCAUCUUGUUACAUCUUUUCCAUGUUUCAUGAAGAACAUAGUUAGGGGGAAGGCAAGGAAUGAUACUAAGAAAAAAAAUUUCUUUGUUCUUGAUUUCUAAGGCUACAAACAUAUCAUGUCGCCAUUAUUGAAAAUUGGUGUCUGAGAGAGGAGGAGUGACGAAAAUUAGGAUUGGAUUUCUCCGAAAUAGAGAAAUAAAGGAUAAACAAGGUUAGAAAAAUGAUUGAGUGGCCAUGAGAGAAACAUAUAUAGAUUUUCAAUCUCAUACCAUGAUAGCGUUUGACAAAAUACUUAAAAGAGGAUUUCUCAUGAUUAUUGAAGAGAAUAAAAUGUGUACAAAACAGCAGCACAAAAGGUUUAUAUAUAAAUCAAGGAAAGAUAACAACUAACAUUAACGGUUACAACAAGAAAAAGAAAAAAAGAGAUUUGUUAUCUCUCUAUCAUGGAGAGACCAUAACACACGCCAUCAAUUUAGUGAUCACCUUAUUCAAUAUUUUAAUCUUCUACUUUUGCUAUAAUGUAUUUUUUGAAAUUUUGAGGAUCUUCUUCUCAAUCCAUUGUUGAUAAACCUCUAAUAAGAUAUAUUAUAGAUGACAUUGAGGGCAUGCAUGCUAUAUGAGGAACAAGAUGUUGUUGGAGCAGUGGUGCAUUCUAGUGAAGCUUUUGAAAUUGAACUUGUUGAACGUAUGUAAUUUGAGUCCAAGUAGGCAACAAUGCCAAAGCAAUACCACAUCAACAAUGACUACAAAGUUUAUGAUGAUUGAAUCAAACUCUGAUAGAUAAGUCUCAAGGCCUUAAAAAAACAUUCAAUAAGACAAAAAUUAAAGGGAUCACAGAAGCAUAACAUGCACGACUUCUUUAUAUAAUUUCUCAGACAACUAACCUACAUCUCGUAAUUUUUUAAAUUUUGUUCAUUUCCGUAAUGUUCUGAUAAAACUCCACACUUCACUUAAAGAAAAACAGAAAAAAGAGAAAAAAAAAAAAAACUAAAUGAGAAAGCAGGUAUAAAUAGAGUGACAGAUAUUGAUUUUGGUUCUCUAUGCAGAAAUUUUUGGGGAGCACUCUCGUUGAACUGCCUUCAUGAGAAGACUGUCGUGUUCCAGAGCCAUCUGAACCGGAACAGACCCAAGCCCAUUGGCCAUGGCAAGCAUUAUCUCCUUCGUUUCCUCCUUGAACUCUUCCAUGUCAACCCUUCCAUUCAGAUCAUGGUCGAAUUGCACGAACAUUGACUCGUACACACGUGCCACUUCCUCAGGCUCAUGCUUCACGUCCACGCCAAAAUGAAUCUCCAACACCCUCAUCCUCUGCAACUCCUUCAGCAUCUCCGCGUACGACAGAACACCAUCCUUGUCCGUGUCCAGCUGCCAGAACAGCUCCCUCACACACUCUCCGAACGCUUCCUCGUCCUCCACGAAACCAACUAUGGUUGCGCCGUCUAAAACCUCCACACUCAUUCUCUUCUCACAACUAAAUUGCUGCCAACUUUAUGUUUCUUUGGUUUCGGAUGACAACCUUUGUUGGUUGUUCAGGGUUUAUAUAGCAAUGAGUAGUAUACAGUU
RNAcentral lists this long non-coding RNA (67569 nucleotides) under Vigna radiata. RNAcentral describes it as "long non-coding RNA (VRAD_LNC004444)". The record is from RNAcentral. Lineage: Eukaryota; Viridiplantae; Streptophyta; Magnoliopsida; Fabales; Fabaceae.